GUGUUUAGAAGCCAGGUCUCAUGUUUUAUUCUAUACAAGACAUAUUUUCUUGGAUGAUCUUCUCUGCCACAAUUGAACACACAAAAGAAACCCUGCAGUUACAUGCUACAGUAUGAUUUAACACACACACUCAUUAUUAAUCUGUUCCAGCAAACAGGUGGAGUUCAGUGCAGGUUGGGCCAAGCUAGAAUCUUGAUUAGGUGAUGACCAAUGUUUUAGGAUAAUAAAAAAAAAUCUGCACUACAAAUUGUCAUAGGUGUCAGGAGAGCCGGAAACCAGCAAGGCAAAAAAACCACAAGCCAAUCACCCUAUGAAGAGGUUCCUACAUUACACUCCCUUCGACCUUAUUCAGGAGGAGCAGCAUCCCUGAUCAACAGCUUGGCCUCAUCAUCAAACAAAAAGGGAGACUAGUUUCAUGGUAUGCAGAAUAUAUUAUGAGUUCCUUCACGAUUGCUGCAGCAAGCGGUAGAGUCCCCACCAGCAGGCCAGUCCCCUAAGUGGCCUUUGCCGCCGCCGCCUCCUCCUCUUUCAUCUUCUUAUCCCAUCUGCGUUUCUGUAGAAACAACAAUUCGAGCAAACACAGAAAGAGGAUAACCAGUCAGAUGUUUCCUUUUAGGGCAUGCAAAGUAAAGCACAAAAGUUAUGCAACGCUUAAGUAAGAAUUCAAUUCAACUAGCAGCAUAAUUUCCAGGGGAAGAUAUAUUUUCCAAAUCAAGCCAUUAUUAAUUUAUCCAUGUUCGAUCAUAAGAUGACCCAUGAACAUAGCAAUUAUCCAGGAAUUCAAUUGCCAGCUCAUAUGUUUAUUUCCAGGUGCUCCAUCGCCAUCCUAGCAGCCUGAUCAAAAUAGGUUGUGCCCAUCUUACAAGCAAGCUUAUUGGCAUUUAGAGAUUGUUGCACAAAUCUAGAGUGCCAACUACGCUGAUUUAAAUGUAUGGCAGCAACUAAAGGCCCAGCAGCAUCCUAAGUAUCUCAUACUGAGAUAAGCUGCGUUUGGGAGAAAUGGGACUUAAAUGUAGAUUUUCAAGUAAUAUCCACGAGCAAGUGCCGAUCAUAACACUAGUUGGUUUGAAAUCCCUUCUAGUUAACUUCUUGUGGCUUAUCUAAGCAAGGUCCACUGCAGUGCGCAUGACUUCCGUUAUGGCUAUGGUUACAGCCGAUUAUGCACUGAUAUAACUAGGACACUGAUCAUUUGGUUCGAAACUGCAUUACUUCAUCCGACCUGGGGGAAAUUGCCAAAGCAUUUGACAAUUGAAACAUCGGAAUAAAGUACCAGUCCCUCCGUCCCAUAAUGNNNNNNNNNNNNNNNNNNNNNNNNNNNNNNNNNNNNNNNNNNNNNNNNNNNNNNNNNNNNNNNNNNNNNNNNNNNNNNNNNNNNNNNNNNNNNNNNNNNNNNNNNNNNNNNNNNNNNNNNNNNNNNNNNNNNNNNNNNNNNNNNNNNNNNNNNNNNNNNNNNNNNNNNNNNNNNNNNNNNNNNNNNNNNNNNNNNNNNNNNNNNNNNNNNNNNNNNNNNNNNNNNNNNNNNNNNNNNNNNNNNNNNNNNNNNNNNNNNNNNNNNNNNNNNNNNNNNNNNNNNNNNNNNNNNNNNNNNNNNNNNNNNNNNNNNNNNNNNNNNNNNNNNNNNNNNNNNNNNNNNNNNNNNNNNNNNNNNNNNNNNNNNNNNNNNNNNNNNNCAUUAUGGGACGGAGGGAGUAGUUAAUAAAAAACACAGGCAGAAAUUUGGGUCAGCCUCGGAAUAAACGAGCUGUUUGUCGUAGAUAGAAAAACAUUACGCCCAUCAGACUUGAAUUUAAAGAGAAAAAAAAAGGAAAUCUCGAAUAGGAUUUUUCUUCCCCGAACUAAUCCGAUCUAAGGUGUCUAAUCUGCAUAUACCCAUUCAACCAGCAGAACUGGAUUUCCGCAAUCCAGACAAAUGUUGAGCAAUGAACACCGACGAUUAAAUCAUCGAACCCAAGCUACCGAUAUCGGCUGGGAAACAAACGUUGCAUACAAUGUCAGCUGGGAAACAAACGUUGCAUACAAUACAAGGAUUGUUGCUCGGCACCAGGAGCAUUUACUGUACGUUCGCAUCAAGGAUUGCCAACGCAGUUGCAGUUUGCUAGCAGGGCAAUGGAUGCCAGAUUGAAAAAAAAAAGAGACGAGGAGUCGAACCUUGUAGUCGAGGAGCAUCUGCGGCAUCUUCUUCAUCAGCUCGACGGUGUUGGCGCGCCUGCAGAGACGAAGAAACCGAAUUUAUCAGGCAUCGAUCGAUCGCGGCGAGGGGGAGGGAAAUGGGGGGCUGCUGCUGCUGCUGCUUACUUCUCGGCGGCGAUGCGGUCGACCUUGUGGCCCUUGCGCUUGGUGCGCAUCUCGCCGCGGGGCGGGUCGUAGGCCCAGUCCUCGCCGGCGAGGAGCACCUCCUUGCGCAGCCGCGCGCGCUGCCGGCCGCUGAUCCCCAGCGGCUUCCACGCCCCCAGCUCCCAGUACCCCCACACCCCCUUGCUCAGCUCCCCCUUGUACUUUGCCAGCUUCUCCUUCCACGGGUACCCCUCCGCCCACCUCGCCGCCGCCGCCGCCGCCGACAUCUUCCCCCCUCCCAUCCUUCUCGCUCGCUCGCUCGCUCCCUAUGCCGCUCCACCUCGCCGGCUUUAGGGUAAGGCAAGAUCCUUCCCCCCGUCGGGCCGGGCCGGGCCGGGCCUUGAUGGGCCGGACCGCACGUUCGAUCAAAUGAUGUGAGGCCCGUACCAGCCCGGCCCAGUAUAAACCCUGCCGUCUCGCCUCGGCCUCUGCCUCGGCCUACUCUUUCUCUGGAGCAAGAACCCUCGCCGCCGCCGACUCCUCCUCCGCUGCCGCAACCAUGGUGCUCGCACGCAAGAAGCUGAGGCAGAAGCUCCACGCGCUCCUCCCCGGCGGGGGCGCCGAGGGGGAGGCUGCCGCGGAGGCGAGGAAGAUCAAGGUGCGGCUCGUGUCCUCCAAGCGGCCCCGCCCCAAGCGCCCGGGCCCCCGCCGCGCCAAGAACAAGAAGGCGUCCCCGAAGAAACCACCCCCGCCGGAGGUGGGUGCGGAGGACCAUGAGGUGGAUGCGGAGGGCCUGGAGGAGCCGGCGGUGGUCGUUGCGGCCACGGAGGAGCCGGCCGUGGACGAGGCGGAGGCGGAGCGGCGGAGGAAGGAGAGGAGGAAGGAGGACAAGGAGAAGCGGAAGAAGAAGAAGGAGAAGUUGAGGGCGAGGAAGCUGGCGGAGGCGGAGGCGGCCGCGGGCAAGAAGAAGUCUGACGGAGAGCCGGGGGAGCUGGGCCUGGAAGCGGACGGUGCUGGCGACCUGGAGGAGCCGGCGGUGGUGGACGAGGCGGAAUUAGCGCAGAAGGCGGAGGUGGAGCGCCGGAGGGAGGAGAGGAGGAAGGAGAAGAAGGAGAAGAGGAGGGUCAGGAGGCUGACGGAGGCCGAGGCGGCGGCGAACAAGAAGUCCGACGAUGAGGCGGAGAAGCAGGACGCGGAAGCGGCCGCCGCCGAACCUGCCGUGGCAGACGACAGGUGAGUUGACGCUCCGAACGGUUGGUGCUUCUGUUCUCGAAUGCCUCAUUUGUUGUCAUGUUCAUGCCAUGUAACUAUGUAAGUAGGAAAUGUGUUGAGCUGUUGAUGUUAAGAUGCCAUUGCUGCAAAGAGAAGAUCGUCGAUAGUUUGCAUAACAUGUUGGUAGAGCUCAUAAAAUGUGUUGAGCUCAGAAUAGCCGUGCAGUGAUUAUAGGCGAUGGGUCAUUGUAAAUGCUCUAGUGAGGUCUGGAUUGUUUACCUUUAUCAUUCAGAGGUAGUCAUAACAUUGUAAAUGCUGUAGUAUGAAAGCAACUAUCUGACCAUCUAGUUUGGCUUUGAUCUGAGAAAAACACGUUUUGUAUGCCUUCCAUGGUGGAAGAUAACAGUUUAACAUUUUGUGAAGUGGCACUUUAGUUGACUUCUAGUGUUGUUUUUGGCAUGCUGAAUCUCAAUGAGGUGUGAGGCGGUGGUGUUUACCUGUUCUGGUCCUUGUAUUGACAUCGGUUAUGUAAUGACUUUUGUUCUUGUUUCAGUGAACACAAUCUAGACGUCACGAAGGUGGAAGGAGAGGCGGAGAAAAUUAAGUCAGAAGAGGUGAAGGAAAUUAAGUUAGAAGAGGCUGGCCAGGCAGGUGUAUCCGACAAUCCAAUUGUGCCGCGAGAUAGGUGAGUUAAAGCUGUAAAGGAUAGAUGUUCUGGUUCUUGAGUACCUCCUUUCUCGUUAGAUAGAUAUGAGGACUGAAGAUGUCACAGAAUAGAGGCAUGUAAGACAAGACACUGUUUCUGCAAAUAAUUAGAGGGAUUAAAAUAACGCAGCAAGUUAGUGACUUAGAAUGGUAUAGCGGGAUGGGCCUUUUUGCAUAUUUACGAGUUGCUCGGACUUGGACUGUCUAGCUUUGCUGUUGACUCAAAUAGUGCAAUAACUUUACAGUAUAUCAGAAAUUGUUUGCUCAUCAGACUUUGUUGUGAGCUUUUUUCUUCCACAAAAAAACUGUUUGGUCCGGAAGUUUCUUUGUGAAAUGAUAUUACAAAUUUAUUGCUUUCUGGUUGUAUGUUUAUUGAAUUGUUAAGGAGUGCGGUAGACAGGCUGGAGAUCAGGUUCUUAUAGGAUGUUGGCAGCUGUUUAAUAUUUUGCUUCAUUGUUUCAGUGAGCAAAGUAUGAAGAAGGUGUAUGUUGGUGGCAUCCCGUACUAUUCAUCUGAGGAUGACAUUAGGAGUUUCUUUGAAGGAUGCGGAAGUAUCACUGCGCUGGACUGCAUGACUUUUCCUGACACCGGGAAGUUCAGGGGUAUUGCCAUUCUCACAUUCAAGGUCAGCUUUGCAACACAGUACCCUUUGUUCUAGUCUUGCGUUCCUGUUCAUGCUGACAUGUUUAAUUCACCCCAAGACAUCUUCUUAGUGUACUGAAUGUUUAAGGUUUGAUGGCACUGGCGUUUGGUUGAACUAACUGUGUACGCAUGGCAGUCUGACUUUUUCACUGUUCUGGUGUAGAAUUUUUUGGUUUUUAUUUCCAAAACCUCUAGGGCAUUCAUCUUUAAGGUCUUUUGGUGGUAAGUGGUGCUGUACCCUUGUGUCUUAUGUUACUACAACUUCUGAGCAGAACUCUCGUCGACCAUUUAAUUUUUUGUAAUCCAUUGGAGUCGUCUUGAUGCCAACAUAAGAUGCUCUUAAUCUGCUUGGUAGCGCACAUGAUUCAUCAGCAGCAUGUUUCAGUCAUUCUCAUUGUUAGGAGAAUAUGCCUGUAGCUUGAAUCUUGUGGUACAACUUUUGAGCAGUGCUGGUACAACCAUGAGAAGUAAGAUUUUGCACCAAUGAACGUCUCCUUCCCAUUAUCUAAGGCGCCUAAACUUUUGGCACGGAAGUUAGCACAGCCUAGUUGUUGCACCACACGGUUAUAGGAGACGUUCAGUUCCCUAACGAUAUUCUCUAACAGCCAUUAGCAGAUGCCAUUUUGCAGGCAAGCAGAUGCCAGUUAGCGACCCCCCUUUUCAGGAAACUACACCAUCGGUUUCCAGGGAAUGGCCAAUUAAAGGGAAAACUGAUUUCCUUAGUCCUUGCACACCUUACAAAUUGGGAAAAAUUAGAAAAGCUUAGGUGCCUUGGAUAAUGGGAAGGAGGGAGUACAAUUUAGUUUCAUUUUAGUCCAUUGGAGUCAGCUUGUACCACCACAAGAUGCUCUUAAUCUGUUAUCAGGAGUCAUGAAUAAUUCACAUGUCUCAUCAGCAGCGUGCUUUUAGAGUUGUUUGGAAGUUGGAGCCUGACAGAGUUUUCUUGUGCAGACUGACGCCGCCGCAAAAAGGGCAUUGGCUCUUGAUGGUGCAGAUAUGUAAGCACAUGUCCUUAAUGUUUACCCUUGUUUGUUUCAGUUGUGAUUCAUAAGUGACAGCAUUUUUGUUAAAUAAUCUCAGGGGAGGGUUCCUUUUGAAAGUCCAGCCUUACAAGGCUAACCGCGAAAAGGUCAAAUCCAACCAUGAGAAGGAAGAUUUUGCACCAAAGAUGAUAGAGGGAUACAAUAGGACAUAUGUUGGAAACCUAGCUUGGGACGUAACAGAGGAUGAUCUGAGGAAGUUCUUUUCUGAUUGCAAGAUCUCAUCCAUCCGUUUUGGAACAGACAAGGAGACAGGUGAAUUCAAAGGGUUUGCACAUGUUGAUUUCUCUGAUAGCACAUCUCUUGCUAUUGCUCUGAAGCUUGACCAGAACGUGAUUAAGGGGAGACCAGCCAGAAUCAGAUGUGCUGUUCCAAAGAAAGAAAACCAGAAACCAGAUGACAAUGCAACUUCAGAUUCAUCAAAGAACAGCAUCCGUACAUGUUAUGAAUGUGGCACUCCUGGCCAUCUCUCUUUUGCUUGCCCUAAUAAGAAGGUUUCUGAAGUCAUAUCUAGUGAAAAUAAGGAUAAUGUCGAUUCAGCUGAAGCAUUGUCCAAGAAGAGGCGCACUUGUUAUGAAUGUGGCGUUCCUGGCCAUAUAUCGUCAGCUUGCCCCAACAAAAAGACUUCUGAAGUCAUAGCUGAUGAAUAUAAGGCCAAUAUCGACUCAGCCACAACAUCGUCGAAGAAGAGACGGACAUGCUAUGAAUGUGGCGUUCCUGGUCAUCUAUCAUCUGCUUGCCCAAAUAAAAGUGCUCCUGAAGUCAUAGUUGAUGAAAAUAAGGCCAAUACUGAGUCAGCCACAACAGCAUCGAAGAAGAGACGGACAUGCUAUGAAUGUGGCGUUCCUGGCCAUCUGUCGUCUGCUUGCCCAAAUAAAAGUGCCCCUGAGGUUGUUUCUAACUACACACAGCCUUUUGAUGAACCGAAGUAUGAACCUUACAUGGCUUCUGAGCAGAAUAAAAUAGACGAUGGAUCAACUUCAGCACCUUCAAAGCGGAGGAAAUGUUAUGAAUGUGGCAUCUCCGGUCAUCUCUCAUCAGCUUGCCCCAACAAGAAGGCUACUGUGAUUAGUCCUGAGGAAGCUAAACCUGUUGGUGGCUCAAGCAUGGAACCUUCAGCUGUUUCUGUUGAGAACAAACCUAGUGGCGACACAAGCUCGGCGCCUCCAAAGAAAAAGAAGAGAAGGACGUGCUAUGAAUGCGGCAUAGCUGGUCAUCUCUCCUCAGAGUGCCCCAACAUGGCCAAAUGAUCAUGGUGGACCAGUUGCUUUUUGGUAGUUAGUGCCCUUCGUUCGGGCGCACGAAGAAUUUUCUCCUGUGAAGGAGAGGAAAUGGUUCCUCACUAGCAUGAUCAAGAGACAAUUUACUGAGCAAUCUUGUAUCUUCCAUUUACCCUUAUCAAAUUUUGACUGCGUCGUAUAUUCUUUAUGGGUGGAAAAGUUUGGCUGCGUGAUGAAAUUUCCAGACUCCAGUAUAACCAAUCUAUGUGCACUGUAUUUGCUAGUAUUACAGCUUAUUAAUACCAGGAAUAAUUCGUAGUAUCCGAAAUCUUCUGUUCUAACCAUUAUUUUGGUCCUGUGCGAACUAAACUAACAUUUGGUUUCAGAGAUAUAUCUGGAAAAGUUACUGGAGAUGGAAUUGGUUCGUCGACUCAAAUGGAGAACCAAACAAAUACUAUGCAAGAAUCUGAGAUCUUAGAAAGCACUAGGAUGUCAACAUAAAUGUGCUUACUACUACUGGAUGCUGACUGAAUCAAUCACUAGUGACCACUUUGCUUUGUGUAUGUGUGUGAUGACAUGUAUGUAUAUGUAGGUGCAUUGCACUAACUAUGCCUGAUACUCCAAGUUGAUGCAGUGCCGUCCGCAUCACACCGGUGGCGACCUACGUGGAGAGGGCGACAAGAACCCUAGAAAAAUCCAGGCAGAAGCAAAGUGCUCUCUCUCUCUCCCUCUCCUAGCCUGGGAGGGAGGUUCGAACUGUGUGAGUUCCAGCCUCGAACGCAGCAACCCGCUGCUGCUCUUUUCUCUGACAGCGACUUAACUCUUUUUCAAAAAGCAAGUUUGGCUCACCCAGUUUGUCACUCAUGAGAGCAACAGGUUGUUCAUGACAAUGAUUUGUGUUUGUCAACUUUCAAUUGCCUUCUUUAUCCAUUAGUAGAACAAAGAAACAAAAUUCACCUUCGGUUAUUUCUUGGGUAGGUGGUUUCUGUUAACAUAUGAGGCUUUUGGCGCCUCGCAAAUACCGCACAUAACCCCACUAUGUUGCAAUUUGGUGAGAUGGAUCCUAACCCCAUCGAAAGAAAAGGAACAUAAUCCUUUCCCGGAGGGCGUGUUGGGGGUACCGUAAACAUAAAAAUUGGAUCAUAUUUGGUGCAUCCCGACCCUGAUUACCCUAUUUAGAAUUGUUCGGAAAUUCUUAAAAAUUUGGGGAUGUAGAAAAAACAUACUUCUACUGUGUUACAAGAUUCCAAAUCUCAACUCAAAACAUAGCUCGAGAAACGAAACAAAAGAGGCAAAUGUCAUGUAGCUAAUCCAAAUCGGGCAGUGAAUUUGGCAUGUUGUCGUUGUUAGCACUGGAUUUGUUCCUUUUCCCAUGCUUCAAAAAUUUGUACUCCCUCUGUAAACGCUCUUAUAUUUCUCCACGGGGAGUACCAUGACAGAUAUAUGUUGUGUGUAUAUUUAAUCUCAGAAGUCCCAAACACUACUUGAUAGGGAAACCAAGAUCAGAUGCACCGGUUGCACCAAACAAACCCCAAAAAAGGUAUUUGGAAUUUUAUUCUGAGCAACACGGCAAAAAAAUAAUUCCAUAUUUUGAGUUUAAAUUUGAUUGCUGAAACUGUCCGGUACGAAAAAAAACCCUAGUUACCGCCUGUAUUUAACCGGUAUUUUCUUGUAUCCGGUUUUGGAAUCCUUGCUUACGACUGAUUCUACUAAAAAAGUCAUGCAUCUCUGUUAACCUGUGUGCUGUGCUAAUCAGAUAUUUCUCUUUCAAUGGAUAAAACAAUUGCAGUGAUGCUUAGCUGCAUCACAGCACUACUAGCUCCAAUUAUACAACUCACGGCUGCUUUAAAGCUCCACACUUGUUUUUUUAAAAAAAAAAUAGUGUUUGGUGCAGAUUAGAGGCGCGCCACAUAAUCGAAGUGGAUAGAACGUGGCAAGCGAACUGAAUCAACAAGCUAGGCAGUAUCUUAGGGUUCUGAAGAGGGCACUACUUUGCCUAGCCUAUAGCAGGUCAUUGUUUUCUGAUUUGCCAGUCCAGUUCAAUUUUUUCAAGAUUUUGAGAAAAUCAAUGAGAAUUAUAGCUGUCUCUGAUUCCUCAUAUCUCAAUUCUUGAUAAAAUUAGGAGGGUGUUGGCUCUUAAGUAGCAAGGGGUUGCUUUAGUGGUGCUAACUCUGCCCCCCUGAGUCAUCAAGGAAUAUGCCGCCCCUUCGAGGCCCCAAACCGCGAUCUCAGGCGGUGACGCACGCCUUAAUAUCAUAUCAUAUUGUGUACUGGCUAACCUUUGGAAUCAGUCAGCAGUACCUAAAGUAGUGACCCCUUCCCUGGCAGAUUCUUGUGCGCGUUCGGUGGUCAGCACACUGCUUACUCGGAAAGUGGAUGCAGAAAACUGGAACCGCUCGGUCGAUCUUACCGGCCUUUAUAGUUUUUUUCCCCUUCAGAAAUGAUGGUUGACAUUGUUUCUCCAAUUUAUAUUCUAUUGGUAUGUGUUGUGCUCGGCAUGUUUUGCGAAGCGAGCAUUCUUUUUUUUUACCACGAUGGUACCAAACAUUUGCUUUGGUUCUGCGGUACCAAGAAAUCGGAUAUAUCUACUCAACUAGCAUAGCAAGCAAGUCAACACAAGCAAUUGUGAGCAAUUGGGCACCGAAACCGUGUGCCAGUUUAAACAAUCCGCAGAGGUUUGAUAUGGUGAUAUAGGGGUUCGGGAAUCUCUGAUGCAGAUGUUGCUGAAUCUUGAGGCAAAACAAGAAGCAAACUUCUAUUUUUGACCAUUUUAUGCGGCAAAUAGCGGGUUUGUUCUUGUUGUUUAUUCUGAGAGGGAAGCAAAGUUGUAUCUUUGCUCAAUUAUGCGGGGAACGGCAGAUGCAGCGCAACCUCCAAGCUAGAUUCAGACCUGAGAUGGACACAGGAAGUAACUUAUGUUAACAUGUUAUGUGCUGUCAGGGUGAUGAUUAUUACUUACUAAACCAAUGGGCUCAAGUUGCCGGUACGACUAGAACUCGAACCUCGAAACACCAAUCAUCGGCAACCUGUAGAUAGUAGCAGCUCUACCUAUGUAGCAAACCACAAAUUGGCCGUUUCUGUUUCUCAUGCAAAUGUGUGUGUGUGUUCAGCAAGUUAUCUGAUCUUCCACAGCAACUGGACAGUUGGUGAGCAGAGAAUAAUUGGCCCUUUUUAUAAUACUGACGACUUGAGCGUAUCGUCGGCACCGAGGGAUCAUGUUGCUUCAGGGUUCACAAAGGACUACCUUGCCAACCGGCCUUUGCGAAUUCUUUUGGGACGCAGCGAACAGAUUCGAAAGAAAUGUGUGUUGUCACCUUUGUGCUACUAGUAGUGCUACUACUGAUCUGAAGAAUCUUAAGUAGUAGGAGUAGUACUGAGAAGCAGGCACAUGAUGGAUUUCCCAGAGGCUAUUUAAUUUAGCCUUAGGUACUAAUUACUGUCCGUAGAGGUUUAGACAUCACAUAACCAAGAGUCUGAUGAGAUCCAUGGCACAGAAUCUUCAUCAUUUAGCUUAGUAAUUCCUCCUCUCAUCCCUGAAGUGUGAAUAGGGGCAAGAUUCCAUUUGAUGCCCAUCAAACACCUCCACUGCGUGGAACAAACCGAGACGCCACAAACUCUCGAGUACUGUCUGAAAUAGCAACGGAUGCCACUAUUCAAAACAAGCUGCGAAUUAGAAAAGUAGAAAGUGGAGGAUUGCGCAGCUCAGCCAGGCUACUUUCUUGCUUACAUCAAGCAGCAAUUGUUGAUCAGUUCAGUCCAAUCAAGCCAGUGCGGUGUGGACGCAAGCAACCCCGAGAACCAAUCAUCGGUGAUAACCGCUCAUUUUAACAUGCGGAGUUGGAUUUGUUUAAUGCCCAGUCUCGGAUGCCACUGCUUGAUGGUAGCUUAGCCUGGCUACUUUUGACUGGAAGAGCCAUCUGUGACACCAUACCGGCGUUGCAAGUAAGUGCGAAAGGCGUUAGAUGCCCCUCGCGAAAAGAUUAAGGAAACUAAUAAGAAGAGAUCCAGAGAUACUACUGUUUCUUGUGGCAUUUGGAGCAGGCAUGAGACGUUUGAUACAUAAAAUCAUCAUUAAGAAGGGCUAUCUUCAUAGAUCAUCUGUGUAUUUAAUUGCAAUUCCAGGUUGCCCCACCAAUCAGCCUAGCUAGCCAUGACCGAAACUGAUGCGAGUACUGACACAAGUAAACUCUACAGGAUUCAGUGGGCCACAACAAUCUAUCCCAAGGAAAGAAAAUUAUGGGAUCUUAAUCGACACAAAAGUACCGUGUCGUCAUAAUCUACAAAAAACAAAAAAAAGAAAAGGAAAUAGUAAGAAGUUUCGACACGAAGUACCAUGCAUGUCAUAUAUAAUCUCAUCUGAGUUCUCAACUGAUCCUUUUUUGUUUUGUUUUUUGCUUUCUGAUAUGAAGUGCACUUGUUGAUGUCCUUCCUACCAUACAUUUCAAAGAUUCUGCUCUUGAAACCUUCAGUCUCUCCAAAACAAGACAGGUCUGCAGAAGAGGAAACAGUUGACCUUGAGGACAUAAAAAUGCCCUCUUGAGUCAUGUGCAGAGGUCAAACCUGAACAAGCCCCUCUGGUUGAUCUGAGCUCAACUACUGAUCCGUGCACAGGUAUUUUCGUACGUGCAUCAUCAUGCUACAUAUUUUUUUUCUUCUGAUAAUCCAAGGGAUGCGUCGAGCUCGCGACGCUCUAGAGCGGCUCGAUCUCGAACCGCUUGCAUUGCAUCUGAGGCGAGCAGCGGCGUCGAGGGGGAUACUCGAAGCCGCCGUUGCUUCCCUCUUCGUCUAUCUCUAGGGCCAACUUGUGCAUUUCUUUAACCGGAUAAACAUAAUACUAGAUUAAGUGUCACUACUGGCUAGCUACUACUGGGCGAUUUGUUUUAUGGUGCAAAUGGCCUAUAAAUACAGCUGCGGCUUGAUGCGUUUCUUCUUCAUCAGCUGCUUCUUCAUCAUCAUCAUCAUCAUCAUCAUCAUCUUUAGAGUUUGAGGGAUCGAUCAGUUGGGUUCAGAGCAAUGACGAAGCGGUUUGCUUUGGAGCAGAAGGAGAUGACACGCAUGCUCUUGCUCGUGUCGCGGGAGCAGGCGAUGCCCAUGCCGAUGCCGGUGGCGGCGCGCGGUCACCGCGCCCCGGAGCGGGUGUUCGUGUGCAAGACCUGCGACCGUGUGUUCCCGUCGUUCCAGGCGCUGGGCGGCCACCGGGCCAGCCACAAGAAGCCGCGGCUGGACGACGGCGGCGACCUCAAGCCCAAGCUGCACGGAUGCUCCGUCUGCGGGCUGGAGUUCGCCAUCGGCCAGGCGCUCGGUGGCCACAUGCGGCGCCACCGUGCCAUGGCCGCGGGCGGAGGCGGCGGCGUCAUGCCCAUGACGCCGCCGACAGCAGCAGCGAUCAAGGAGCACGGCGAAAGCGGCGACGACGACGCGGUUGUCGGCAUGAAGCGCGGGCUGUGGCUCGACCUGAACCAUCCACCUUGCGACGAGUACGGCGCCGGCAGCGAGAGCGACGACGAGUGCGGCCACGUCGACGCAGCUGCCGCCGGGUACACGUUCCACCAGUUCAUGGAUACCGGCACCAUGGCGGUGGACUGCGUCUAGCUGCCCCGUCCCCCACUCCGUUGCCGGGUUUUUGCCGGAUAGCACAAUAUUUUCCUGUGUGUACUUUGGCAGUAACUUCUUCUUUUUUUACCCUUUUUCUUUCACCUUUUCAUGCAUGGAUAAAUCCAUAUUUUGUAGCAUGCAGUAGAUGAGUGCCCAGUGAGAGGCAUGCCAUGGCAGUACAUAAAAUCAUCUCUUUGAGAUGAUUAGUUUUGUGCCUAAUUUGGUGGCUUUGUAGGCUCACCAGAGCUAUUUUCCUCAGGUUUUCCGGUUAUUAUUUGCCCGGUUAUUACUGAAAAAAAACCUUUGGUCAAGUGGCUUAAUGUGUAAUUAUCCAGUUGAAGUAAAGUAUAUAUGGAGGUUGUGAUUCAUCAGUUGGUGCCCCAUGUCAUCUUGCCUCUUUUAGUAUGUUCUAAUAUAAUGUCCACUUGAAACCAGAAAUUGUCAUGUGGGAUCCAAAUUGAACCUUCAACCAAGGAACUUUCUACAGUAAAACCUUGAAAAAACAUAACACGGACUCAGACCUGGUUUCUAAGAGUGGCUUGUAUUUAUGACUUUCUAAAAAACCAGAGAAAUAUUUCAAAUAUUUAGGAAACGCCAUGACAUGGUAAUCCACAAAUAUUCAUAAAAGUAUAACCAUUUAUGUCAUGUGUAGAAAUCAAGAAAAGUUCAUUUCUCUCUUGUGUACGUGUUUGCAUGGAACACAAAUGGAUCAUGUUAGUUGGUUCAUUUUUUUCUUCAUGUUUCUAUGCCCCACAGUUCUUCGGUUUUCUAGGAAAUAUUUUUGGUAGAUGAAGCCACAGCCUCUAAACCUUAACCCGGUAUGUAGGUUUAGAAAUUUUCAAAAAGUGAAUAAAAACCUUAAAACAUGACAUUGCUAUCAAUUCGGAGCCUGCAUAAAAUCAUUAAACGUGUGAAAAUAUUUCAUCUUCCAUACGACCUUGUUCCCCGUAUAAACAUAGUUUUUAGUUUGACUGAAUGAGAAUCAUGCAAUAGGCGUCAGUAUAGGGAUCAGUACGAAAGCUAAGUGAUCGGACUAACAUAGAGUGCGUUUCUCCCGGGUAAGCUUAUGUUCCUGAUAUCUGAUACCUAUGUUUGCUCCUUAUUUUAUUAAUAACUGAUCCAAUUUAUAUGAAAAAUAUGUAGGUUGAAGAAGUUAUUAAGAAAAAUGAGUGGAAUCUUUCAAUAUGCUAUUCUUGAUACCAUGUUUUUUAUUCUUGAUCCUCGAGCCUAUCAAGUAUGGAUUCUAGGAUACAUAUAUCUUGUUGUUCUUGCAGAUGACACAGAUGCUCAUAUUUUUGGAUAAACUUGUGCAGGAUAUAAUCUCAUGGCAUUCCUAAAAUCUGCUAUUUUCUCUUUUUGGACUAUCCCCCAGAUGCAAAAACCACUAUCCAACACAAAGUUAGGUUCAAGUUUAUUAUUUUUAGAAAGUUUAGUAAUAUUUAUUGUUUCAUAGUUAAGGUUGAAGCUGGCCCAAGCACCAUGGUUGAGGGUUAUGGUAAAAUUCUUUAAUUACAAAGUACAUAUUAAAACAUAUUUUUAGCACAAUAUCAAUUCUAGCUAGCUGGCUGUAUUUAUUUAGAGAAAAGUGCACAUAUUAAACUGUUUUCUAUUAUCAGCAUUUUGCAUCAAUGCUCUCUUCCUUUUAGCAACAAAAUAUAGUAUGUUAUGAUCGUUGCUAGUAAUUCUACACUGAAUGCUCAUCAUGGUAGCAAGGUUAUCUCAAAUGCAUGUUGUAGUUAUAAGCCGAAUUACCCACACAAAUAUACAACCAGAUAUUCCAAUAGACAAAUUACUUGAUUUUCCAUUCUAUAUUUAUAAAUAGUUCUAAAAUAAUGCAUGGGUUGAUGGCUCAUCGUCAUAGCAAGACCUAUGGAUUGUUAGAUAAUUUUGUGAAAGCUUCAUGAAUCAAUUGGCAGUAGUAGUUUUGAAUAUUAGUAUGUUUGUUGUGAGGAUAUGAAUUUGAACAUAGGCCUUAUCACUACAGGAAAAAAAAUUGCGAGAUAACUUUGUGACUUCCCAUAUAUUCCUUUUGCGAGAUAACUUACAAUUUUUCCUCAUAUAUAGGCGUGGACACGUGGUGAGAUCUGGACCAUACGUUGAUUUAUUCCUAGAAGUAAUAUUUUUGACCGACUCCCACAAAUAAUUGGAUACCGGGUGCCCUACAAGUUGAAAUACAAAACCAAGUGUAGGAGUUAAGCUACCCUUCUCCUAUACUCUAGAUAGUUGCAUUAGUAGUAUGGAAAGCCGGUAUUCCCCCUAAUUAUGCAAUGCUUCAUGAGGUUAUGAUGAGCACACAAAUGUUGACAAAGCGCAAAGCAUCCCUAAUUAACAUUUCUAACACAGGAAUUGAUGCCUCUUCCUCUUGGUGAUUCCACCAUCAAGGAGAAGCGCGUAGAACUGUUAGUACUUAGUAUAUAUACUAAAGCGAUCGAAUCUUCGGGCCUGAAUUUCUCUAGUUUAGUUAGUUUAGCCCAUAGUAGUGCUUCUCAUAUGUGUGCAUGCAAAGAAGCAUACCUCCUUGCUCAUGGUUAAACAAGUGUUUAUCAAGAAGCAAAUUUGCAUUGCAACUCUCCUUGCAGCUUUACACGUAUGCUUAAUAAUAAUGGUGUACAUACGUACGUAUGCAGAAAACUGAAGCUGUUCAAGCAUGUUCCAGGUGAUUAACAAACUGCCGGCUGCUAACGUCGAAGGCAGCUAGAUCAGGCUCAACUCAACAGCAGGUUUGGGUUGGCAGAUGGACUUGGUCCAGAGGCUCACAUAGUACCAAACCCAUGCAAAUCUAUGCAUGCAUGGACUGUAUAACAGACUAAUUGACGUCGAUGCCAUGCAAAGAUGGUGGCUAGUUUAUUUUUUCAAAAAUAGAUUGUGGCUAAAGCCCUACCCCCAUCACUUUUCUAAAAAAAACUACCUCUUCAUGGCAAAUAUAUAUAGCAACUCAAAACUUUCUUGAGAAAAUUAUCGACAUACCGGAGUAAUUUCAUUGUAGAAAGCCCCGUUUUGACAAAGAUACCAGCAUCGUUCAUGUGAAAACGCACCUGAGCAAUCAUGUGACCAGAUUGUACAAACGGAGCAAGUUUUGCCCUAUGAUUCCUCAUAGACCGGCGUGCUUAUGACACGCACUGUAAUUUCAUAUGUUUAACGUGCUGUAAUUUCAUAUGUUUUUUUUUUCACAAGGUUGAGAAGGCAUGAAUACCGUCUAGAAAACCUUAUGAAACGAGAAUGGUGCGGAUUUCAUUCUCUUAUGCCCAACCAGAAGUAGGAACCCCCUAGCUUGCCAAUUUGAAUCGUGAACUUGUGAUUGAGUUUUAUAUUGAGUAUUGAGGAGCCUAGAAAUCACUCGCAAAGCAGGCUUAUAUUCUUCAUGUAGAGUAUCCUCAAGCCAACAAGAUAUCGGCGCCUACAUAUACUCCAAUGUGUGAGUUUAUAUACUCUCCUCCACCUUUCAAAUUAUAAAGUGUAUGCAUUUCUUUAGAAUUCAAUUUUUUCUAAGAUUGACAAAACGUACGUAAUGCAUUUUUUCAAUACGUACACGUUAUAUUUAAAGAGAGUGUAUUUUUUAUGCAUGUCAUUUUACCAGUAAAACCUGGAUGAAUAGCAAUCAAGCCUUUUAUGAACCCCACUUGGCAUCUCGAAAAAAGAUAUAUAAUGCACAAAACAUGGAAAUGCUGAUGACCAUGGGAUUCAUUAGCACCAAGCGCCUCGAAUGGAGAGGUGCUUUUCUUAGGAACUACUUCGAUCUAGGCGCUUCUCAAUGCGAUCCGGUCUCCUUUCUCGUCAGCAUUCUCGAGCUUCUGGAAGUGGAUGUGAAAACUAAGAAACUUGAAGGGACAAAUUCUCUAUUUGCUACAAAAGAAAAAAAACAUUCAUGUGGUACUUAUUUUAUGGGACACUCUUGUAGAAGUUAAUUUUGAGCUCAGACAACCUCUCGAAGGCGCGUAAAAUUAGGUUAAGAUGUGCUGCUUGGUACGGGCCAGAUAAUAUAUAUAUACCCGGCUUAUGUAUUACUAUAUGACUCGUUGGUUGUUUAACACAUCAGUUUUAAUUAAGGUGGCUUUUCGGCUGGAUGAAUCCACAAACUUGGAAGAGGCCUUCUCUUGAUACCUGCCAGCCAGCCAGCCAGCCAGCAUUGUUGGUGACUGAGUGAGUGCACAAGCUACGUAUCAGAUUCAAGAUACUGUUUCAUGUGGCUACUUGGGAGGGCCAUGAGGCGUUUCAUGGAUGAGCUCACCAUUCAUCAAGCAUGCAUAAUUACCUUUCCAGAUUGCGAUGUUGGUCUAGUCAUGAUGCAUGAGUCACCCACCGCCAACCCCAUGCAACUGACACACAGGUCAUGUCUGCAGUUAAUUAGGUGCUUCGGUGGGUCCAUGUUCCAGGAAUAUUUGGGGAUUAAUCCUCACUGACACAAGUAUGUUAUAUCAUCCCAUUUUAGUUUCCAAAAAGUUAUUAGUAUAGCUCUAUAUAUCCUCAACUUUCAUCACUAUCUUGUAACCGUAAGUAGUACAUUUUCUGCGAUGAAAGUUCUAUUGCUGUUGUACCGGCCGGGCUUCAUUGAAUCUUGGCAAGAAUCUGCAACUUGCGUGCGUCUAUCCAAAUUCAUAUUGGAUUUUUUUAGAAAAGGAGGCUGAGCCCCGACCUCUGUAUCGAGAGAUGCAUACGGCCAUAUAUUAUAAACCAAAAUAAGUCUCCAUCGAGUACAAUAAGUCUUAAGCAAAGAGAAAAUCAACGAUACAAGGCAUCACUCAUGCCCAAGCCGGAGAUAGUAGAAAAAAAUUCAUAUUGGAUACUGGAUCUAUUUUCUAUUUUUCUCAGUUUAUCUGAACAAGACAUGUUUCUAGAAGAGGAACAGCUGACCCAGAAUCUAAUUGGACGCCUGCAUCAUCAUCAUGCACGAUCUGCUGCUGCUAGGUAGCUGCUGCAUGCAUAUCUAUCCAUUGGCUAGCCCGCCCAAGCGAUCGAGAGAAAAGGAGGGACGCAUCAUGGUUCUUCCAUGGCGCCGCGUUACGUACGUGCAGCUACAGGAAGCGGCAGCUGCUUCUUGGUCGUCUUGUAGGGGUAGCUUGUGCUGUUUUGUUUAAUCGGAAACUCAUGCAGAGAUCAUUAGCUAGGGUCACUGCUGUGCUGCCUUGCUACUGGCUGAUUACUUUACGCGGCUUAGUUGCUUGUCUAUAAAUACAGACUCGGUUCGAUGCGCUUCUUCUUCAUCCAUUGCCAAUCUCUUCUCAGCUUCUUCUUCUUCUUCUUNNNNNNNUUCUUCUUCUUCUUCUUCCAUUUGGCCAUCUCAGCUUCUUCUUCAGCGCGCGGUUAGUGAGAAAUAAUGAAUAGAUUUGCGUUCGAGGAGAGGGCGCGCGUGCUGCUGCUCGUGUCGCGGGAGCAGGCGAUGCCGGUGCCGGUGGCGGUGCGCGGUGACCGCGCCCGGGAGCAGGCGUUCGUGUGCAAGACGUGCCACCGCGUGUUCCCGUCGUUUCAGGCGCUGGGAGGGCACCGUGCCAGCCACAAGAAGCCGCGGCUGGACGGAGACGGCGGCCUCAAGCCCAAGAUGCACGGCUGCUCCGUCUGCGGCCUCGAGUUCGCCGUCGGCCAGGCGCUCGGCGGCCACAUGAGGCGUCACCGUGCCAUGGUUGCGGGAGGCCACGGCGUCACGGCGGCGGCGGCACGGGCGGAAACGAUCAACAACCUUGACGACAGUGGCAACGCCGCUGUGGUUGUUGGCAGCGGGGGCGGCAUGAAGCGCGGGCUCUGGCUCGACCUGAACCACCCUCCGUGCGACGACGGCGACUGCGGCCAUGACGCCGCCGCCGCUGGGUACACCUUCCACCAGUUCUUGGAUGCCGGCACCAUGCCGGUGGACUGCGUCGGCUACUAGCUCCUCUCCCUCUAUCGCCGGGCAGUACAAUUAAUAUCUGUGUGUGUGUACCACUACCUACUACUUUAGGUUCUCUUUUCUCUCUUCUUCUUCUUGGAUUGGAUGAAGACAUCAAUCCACAUUUUGUAGUAGUAGAUGAGUGCCUAAUGGAAGGGCAUGACGCACAUAGUAGAUCAUGACAGUGUGCUCAAUUUGGUGUGGCUUGAGGCCCACCAGAACUAAUCACCUUGGGUUUUUUCUGUUAUUAUUGUUGAUGAGAAAACCUUUGGUCAAGUGGCCCAAUGUAAUUACUUUGUCAUUGUAUAAUAUAAAUGAAGCUAGCUUGUGGUUGUUUUUUUCCAUUUGGUGCAAGUGAGGAUGAUAAGUUUUUUUUUUUACGUACAAGCCAGGAGCACUCCCGAUUUUUUUUUGGAAAAAACAUCCACUAUAUUAAUUAAUUAAAAAAGGUUGUUACAAUCGUUUAUUACCAAAUUCGCCACGCAGAGCGAAAAAAUAUUAAGUAGAAUGCCAUCAGAUAUACUAAUGAAACUGUACUUCACAAUUUCGCGAGCCACUCCAUUGGCUAGCCGAUUAAUUUUCUCAAUUUUAAAAUUCUUGAUCAAGCUGGAUAUACUUAAGGCUUCUCUCUUCACAUCGAUGAGAGGAGACCUAUCAAGCUUCUCAUUUACAAGGAAAGAACGGAGAAAAACACAAUCAGUCUCUAGAAUAAUGGAUUGGUGAAGAGUAAUACCGAUAUAAAGGGCCGCCACGCAUGCACGCAGCUCAGCUUCAUUCACGCUGGUACACUAACCAAGAAAGUCCCACGGAGAAAUAAUAACUUCCCCAGAUGAGUUUCUAGCAACCAGGCCCACACUCGCGACAUUAAUGCUCUCUAUAUAACUGGCAUCGACAUUGAUCUUGAUAUAAUCAUCUCCUGAUUACAUUAAGAUAGAAAAAACAAAACCAGAGUGGCCUAGUUUAUGAGAGAAACUAGGACGAAAACCAUACACCGCACGAUGAUUAAGGGACAACCAUGUAAAAAAAUGACCAUGGUGCAAAAAAAUUGUGCAAAAAAACCCGACCAUGGUGCAAAAAAACGUCCAUGAUUAAGGGACAACAAUUUAUUAAGGAGUAAUUGUGCAAAAACAACAUAACCAUGGUGAUAUCUGCCAGCUCAAACUCCACCACUAACAUGACCACAACCUGAAGAUGUGUGGGGAAGCUCUUUGAAGACAUAUUCAAGAAGGAUAGGUAUACCCAAAGGUGCCAUCGCCACUUGCAUCGACCCCCGUCGAAGACUAAAGCUUCCGCCUAGAGCCACCCACACUAGGCCCACCAGACCUCGGGAAAAGUUCGGCCACACCAACAAUCACCAUGACGACUAUCGAACCAACAAAGCCACAAUCUAGUGAAGAGUAGGAACCCUUCAGCGACAACUCCAAGAGCAUCGUCGUCGUCACCCUUCCAUCCCCAUCGCACCAAGGCUUCCUCCCAGAGCCCUAAGCCCCUCCACGUACCACGAGCCCCGGGGAUGGGGUCCAACCACUUCCAGUAGAGAGCAAGCCGAAGCCGAGUUGCACUGGCAGUAACCGACCAUGGUCAUCGUAAUAACACAAGUUGGUGGUUUUAUCUUAGUAUAUUCUUAUUCUCUCACAAUAAUCACUACCGGAAUAACACUAAAAGCUGAGUAUCCAGUAUACACGACUAAUUUUAGAGAAAGAUCCAUUUUAACCCUAAAUUAUUUAUCGGUGAACAUAAACAUUAAACUUGAGCUCUCUUUACAUUAAACACUCGAAUUGCCGAUAGCAGUUAACAUGAACUCAACCCUUCUUUAAAAUAUCUUUGCAUUUGAGGUCUUUGAAAUUAGGUGGAAAUUUUCAUUUAUAUAGGAAAUUCUAUGAACUGGUUAAUUAAGAAACCAGCAAUUUUUUACCAUAUAAUGUUAUGAAAAUAAUGACAAGAAAAUUUCAUUAUCUCUAAUACUUUUGCGUGCAACACAAAUAAUCAUACUUUGUUAAUUUUCCGCCCUUCGAGUUCAAUAGUUGCUGUCGUGGGUAUAAGCCUGACAGUAGAUGUGUAGGGUACGAAAAGGAUGGGCAGAGUCCCAGCUACGGCGAGGUUGUAUGAGUUCAGGCCCCUCUACGGUGGAGGUAAUAGCCCUACCUCUCAGUGCUCAGGGAGCUUGUUGUCGAGUGGAAAUAUAGAGUACAAUGAGUUGCUAACCCCUCUACCAGCGGGGGAGGGUGGCUUAUAAAGAGUGCGCUACCCUUCACAACGGUUCCGGUACAGGGGUGGAGUAGUGGCGAUUGAAUGCAUACGUUACAGGUAACGUACGCCCUAAAUGCUAAUAAAUGCACCUGGAAACGUACGACCGUUUCCCUCUAGGGAGGUUACGAUGUACCGAGUAGUAGCCAGUCGGUUAGCUUGAUAUCCUCCGAAUGCUAGUCCCCGACCGGAUAACUGAGGACCUGUUACCGACUGGACGAUGGGGAGUCCUUAAUUCAGUCGGAGCUGACUAAGGGCCUUGUCCUUUGUGAGGGGUAGUCCUUGGGUAGGACCUACAGGGCAGGCCUAUGACCCUACCCUAGGACUAUAACCCCAUCAGUUGCUCAGAUUCCCCGCAUUCAUGAAGAUAAGCCAUCCAUCAAACCAUAACCUAGUUAUUAAGGGUCGGUUCACACCUUAAAUUUUUUGAAAAUUGAACUAUAAAAAUGUGAAUACAUCAUAUGCUACAGAUUGGGUGCCUGCAAAAACCCAUCCAUUAAUAUGACAACUAGUCAGCAUAGUAAUCCCGUAGCAUUUCAUACAUCUAUACCGUGUUCAACUUUUCGAAACAAACCCAUGUAUUAGUUACUCAAUUAGAAUUCAGUUUAUGUUGAGCUUGUGGUUUUUAACUUGGUGUAUGUAAUGUUGCAUAAAUUAUUAUGUUCUAUUCUUCCAAAAAUAUUAGUUUGAAAUAAAUAUUAAAUCUAGCUGGUGCUUUGUUUUUUAAAACAAUUUUUUUUUGCUUCAAAGUUGUUUGGGUCUUGUCUAGUCCCAUUAGUAAACCGGAGAAAUAUGCAAAAGCAAAUUACAUGUUUAGAUAAUUUUUUACCGUGGACAAUCUAAGAAAGAUUAGCUUGAAAUACAUAUUAGUUCUAGUUGGUGCUCCGUAGAAAAAAAGCUUAAAAGUUAUUUUGUUCUUCCAAAAAUGUUAGUUUGAAAUACAUAUUAAAUAUAGCUGGUGAUCCGUUCCCCCCGGCCCCCCAAAAGAUUAGUUUUAAAUACAUAUUAAAUCUAGCCAGUGCUCCAUUUUUCUUCUUCCGAAAAUAUUAGGUUGAAAUACAUAUUAAAUCUAGCCGGUGAUCCAUUCUUCAAAGAAAAAAGACGUUUCAAAGUUAUUCAUGUCUUCUUUACUCCGACUACUAAAUUGAAGAAUGUGCAAAAAUAUAUUGCAUCUUUAGAACUAUUUUUGACUGUAGACAAUCUAUGAAAUUCACCAGUCUCUAACUGUUUCUAAUGAUAAAUGAAUACGCCAAUUUCCUUCCUUUAAUAAUAUAUUGUUUAAUUUGAUGUAGUACAUAAACAUUACCAUGAAACCUCAAAUGGAUUUUAGUAUCAUGUGAAACCAUAUGAAAAAAAAGAAGUAAAUUAACAUCUAAGUACUACAUACGCGAACUAUGCACCAAUAAAACAGAACUAAUAUUUCUUUAUCGUGGGACAGAAAACAAAGAAAAAUAUUACGAUGGGUAAUGUAUAUACCUACCAUUUUUUCUAUUAUAGAUCAAACAUAUGACCUUUUGUCUAACCCAAAAGUUAAGGAAUUCUUGAAUGGUAUUCUAUGGAGACGUAUACAUCUAUGCAAAUAUAAUGUUUUUGUUAAUUUCUUUCAACUUUUAAAUGUGAUUUCAAGUUUUUUAAUUUUGGAGCUCAAUGAGCCAGAUCCACCGGAUGCUUGCUACUAUAGUGACAGAAUCUUACUCAUUGCUAGUAUCACAAGAUGAAUUCCUCCUGGAAUAUUCUAAAACUACUUUUCAUUCAAUACUAUAGUGCGUUUUAAGUCAUUGUGGCCACCAUGUAAAAAAUGUACUUAACUCACGUUAUGUUUCGACAAUUUUGCUUUCGUAAGGAAAAAAAAGCUAACUUGUUGCCUUAAUGAGAAGAAAAUGAUGAUCAUUAACUCUUUUUUUGAGAAGCCCAAAAGCUACAUAUUUAACCAAAUUCAAACCUUACAAGACACCCUUUAUUUUUUUACAAAAUCAGUUCAUGGAGAAUUCACCAUCGUCUCCGACUAGCACAAAUUGAUGGCACAUCAUGACCCUAGCUUGGUGUGGCACCUACUCUGCAUCGCUCGGGCCAAUGGGUCAUUAUAAUUAACCGCGAUAAGGAGUCACCAGACCUUGAUGCCAAUGACAACUAACUGACUAACAAUAGAAUUACAAGAGCUGUAAAAUCAUGUAUUCCUCAGUUUUUAUUUACUUCGCAUAUUAGCUUUGACUGAAGUCAAACUUUAUAAAACUUUGAGCAAGUAUAUACAAUAAAUUAUUAACAUCCAAAAUAUGAAAUCAAUACCAUUGGAAUUGGCAUGAAAUAUAUUUUCAUACCAUAUAUACUUUUUAUUUUGAAAGUUUUGUUUGUUUUUGAUAAACUUGGUAAAACUUUAUAAAAUUUGACUUAGGUCAAAGGUAAUAUGCAGAGUAAAUAUAAUCGGAGGGAGUAUUAAUAUACAUUUUUGCUCAGAUUCAUAGUUUCUAUGAAAAUCCUAAAAUGCCUUCUAUAUAUAUCGAAAUAGAUAGACCAUGCGACUAGAAAUUCAAAAAUGCUGUUAAAAUUAAGGAUCAUUACAAUAACAAAAAUCUUGUGUAGUGUAUUGAUAAUUGAGAUAAAAACGGAGACACUAUCCUACUAGGAAAAUAAAUUAAGUUAGAAUAUUGGUUUAAUUUUAUCAAAGUUUUGGUGGUUCUAUUAAACUGUUAAACCGGAAAAAAUACUGGUUGACGAUAGAAUUACAAGAGCUACAAAAUCACAUAUCUAUAAGACAAACAAAAUAAUUUCCACACGGAGACCCACAACAAACAUGCAAAAACACAAAACUAAGUUCAGUGAAACUAGUUGAAAUCUUAAUUAUGAACAUAACAAACCUUCUUUAAUUCAUACUGUAGCCGGAAUAGGGCAAAAUGUCCGUUGAACUCCACCGCGAGAAGAGUCGGCCCACAACAAGAAUAAUCAGGUUAAACCAGAAAAUAAUCUACGCAGAUGUUCGAUGGCAUCCCUAUGAGCUUGUCCCCGCUCCCGGAAACUGGGAUCCACGCCAUAGAUCACCAACUCUAAAGAAGUUGAAGAAAAGUACUGCCAUGGUUUACCAGAACACACGACCUAGAACCUCAAAUUGAUAUGACAUAAAUUUCACAUCUCAAUCGGCGCCUAGAAGGAAGGUCACCAUAUCUAAGGAAAAGUCUGUUAGAGCCGAGACAACCAACAAAAACACACCUAAAAGAAUAACCAAAAAUAGUUACCCUCCCCAACCUCAGGACGCCAUGCAUAGAGCCCGCCAAAUGGUGAGUGGGUUGGGGAGUGUUGUUUCACCGUUGUAAAGUGAUGGGCUGAAUCUUGAAAGGUGGUGUAGGGUUUUCACAAAUUAGUCUGCCUAGUUUUGAAAUAUCGAUGUGUGGCGACGAUGUAUCUGACGGUGUAGUACUGUUUCAAAUGGCCAACUUGGCAACUUGUAAGCCUUGAGGUGCGUUGAGAUUCAGGAAUCAACUGUUGCUGGCCAAUGGUAUCUAGCAUUAUGACCUAGUAAAUCAUAAGGAACAAUACUGCUUCCCUUGACAUGACAAAUAUGUUUUAAUGUUUUGUAAGAUUGGGUAUAUAUGAAAUGAAAACUCAGUAGAAACUUGGUAAUAGACAAAAAAUGACAUUUUCCACAUGAUUAUAAUAACCUUGAUGACUAUAACAUGAGCUCAUCGAUGUAUUCACAAAUGCAAACUAGCACCCCUAGUUUUCCUCAUAACAGGAAUAUAUUGCUCGACGAUUGAUUAUGUAUAGCUAUACCACUACUCUCCUGCGUCAUCCUGUGUGUCACCUUCAACAAGGAGCAGUUCUACUGGCUGUUGCUUCUAAAGUGAUCGGAUCUUUAAAUUAAACAAGUGUUGAUCGUCGAGAAGCAAAAUUCCAAUGCAACUCUUCUUGCUUAUAAUUAAUACUCCCUUUACUGUUCACAAUUAUAAGGUGUUUUGGAUAUUUUAAUAUAGGCUAUCUAUGUACUGAAAUGAGUGAACAUUCACACUGAAAUGCGUUUGUACAUAUCUGAAUCAGAAAAAAUUAAAACUUAUUAUAACGGUGAACGGGGGGAGUAGUAUAUAUACAUAGCAAACUGCAGCUGCUCAGCAGAGGCAGACACAAAAAUAUCCUAAUAUGUUGGAAAGAAAGAAAAAGCCGCAUGGAUAUCUCAAAUCAAAACUUGUGAGCUAUUGCAGCAGGUGAAAAUUAAAUAACUGGGGACGCAACAUACGCAUAUGCGAGAAGUAGAGAGCAUUAUGCUCUUAUCAGUUAUAAUUAUCCUUUGAAGGAUAGCUGAUUGAGAAGCAUCUUGCUAUUAUCAAUUUGUCACCGACGUCAGCAUGGUAUCAAUCAUUUGCGCAAAACAGGAAAGAGCAGGUACCAAUGAUUUGCGCAGAAUUAUUGAUUGAUAAGGAAAGUAAGUAUUCAAACUAGGGCAUACAAGAAGUCAAUAUGGAAAUAUCAGACACAUGUACUCUCCUUCCGUUCCUAAAUAUAAGUAUUUAUAGAUAUUUCAUUACGGACUACCUAUGAAGCAAAAUAAGUGAAUCUACAUUCUAAAAUAUGUCUAUAUACAUCUAUAUAUAGUUUAUAUUAAAAUCUUUAAAAACUUAUAUUUAGAAACAAAGAAAGUACGAUGCAUUCAUGCAUGCACGGACGUAGAAGGACAUACAAGAAAGGAAGUUACGCAUAACCUUGGGCAUGCCAUAAGUUUUGAGUGUUCUAGCCCACUCGACCAAAUCCGUGGGCUAAUUUACAUGUUCCAGCUCGAGAGGGCACGUCCUGAACCCAUGGACAUAUAAACCCAUUUUUCAAAAAAUGCAUUUUAAACACGUUUUGAAGUGUCAAAAAUUCAAAUAAAAAGUUCACAUAUAUAUAUUCGUAAAUUUUGUGAAAAAAAUGUCUUUUUGUUUUGUAUCCGCAAAAAAGACAAAUUUCAGUUCUUCUAAAUAACGUUGCACAAACACUAUUUUUUUGACUUUUUUGUACAGGCCAAAAAAUAAGUUAUUUUUUCGUGAAACUUUAUGCACACAAAUAGAACAUGGAGAUGUAUCCGUGCAACUUUUCUUCAGACUUUAAAGCAUUUGAAAUGGGUUUUCCGUAAUGGGUUCAUAUGUAUCCGGGUUCAUCCAUGCACUUUCAGGUCCAGCUCAAGUAAACCCCCUGGUAUUCUUUAGUUCUGUAUAUCUUUCCAUUUUUACACAACAUACUCAAUCUAAUCAUUUGAAGAUUUUUUUAAAGAAACACAGUACAAACAAUCGCGCGCGCGCACACACACACACACACUCCCUAUCAAUACACACACACACACCCUAUCAAAACACACACACAACACACACGCGCGCGCACGUUCCCACGCCCACGUCAUGCCCACGCAUAUGCACACACUACCUAUAUGAGCACCUUCGGGAGACGGAUAACUUGAAAUAAAUUCAGGAAGUAUGCGAUCACAUGUGCCAAGUCUAGGACUUGAACCUGAUUGGUCUGUUUUCACUACAAGUAAUCUAACCAUCUAAGCUAUACCUACUUCACAAUUCAAGAAUUCAUAUUGAGACUUUGUUUUUCACAUGACCCACCAUGCUAUGUUGCCUCUUUUAGUAUGUGUUUAUUCUUUAAAAUAUAUUUUAAUUUCAAUAUUUAUCAAAUCUAGCUGGUAUCCUAUUUUUAGCAGAACUAGGUAUGUACUCGUGUGUCGCAAAUAUCUAAAUACUUUUUAACACAAUAAUAUGACAACAUGGGUCAAAUCUUGAUGUAAACCAGAUAGAAAAAAAUAAGAUUAUGUUUUGGUUAUAAAAGCAUAGAUUCUCCGCAAUUGCUUAAAGUGAUAAAAUAGGUACUGCCUAUGAUUGAUCGGCUAUUUAUUUGUUUAUGGAUUGUGAAUUUAUUGUUAUUUAUCAGCUACAAAGAUGUCUGACUGGUAUAAAAUUUCACCAUAAGAAAUAAUUUCAUGAAUUUAUUGCUAGACCAUAGGUUGAUUUAAUAUUGGGUUACCGAAGAUUGGUUUGAUGAAAACCAGGGUACCCAUUACCCGCAUACUCGACGGGUAAAAACCCUAUUAGGGCAAGGGUAUGGGUCAAAAAAUACCCAUUGGUACAUAAAUGAGAAAAUUUUGAAAUCCAUCGGGUAUAGUGGGUACAUGUAUGGUUUAGUAUAACUCAUACCCGUGUACCCGUUUACCCGCCUAUAAUCCUGAAAAUAGGCCUUAAGUAUUAUUUGUCCACACAUUAGAUGCCUAUAAUCCUGAAAAUAGGCCUUAAGUAUUAUUUGUCCACACAUUAGAUGUAUUAUAAGUACAUAAUUCUUGCAACUCGCGAAUGCCCAGAAUGUGCUGAUGUUUAUGAGUAUGUGUUUUCUGUCAUGAAGUGUUGUUGUUUAUAAAUUAUUAUUACAAGUUGUUGUUUAUGACUAUGUAUUACUUAAAUUGACGUGUUUCAAAUCUGGGUAAUUGUACCCGCGGGUACCCAUUUACCCUGACGAAUGACGGGUAUGGGAAAAAAAUUGUACCCGUCGAUGCGUAUGGGUAUGGGUGAUGGGUAAGAUUUAAGGCGACGGAUAAGGAUACGGGGUUGCUCCACCCGUACCCAAAACCGGUGGUUGCCAUCCCUAACAAGAAGAGGAUGGAAAACCGAAAAAAAUCAGUGGUGGAUGGGUGGACAAACGAAGUGGUGGUGGGGAGAAACAUUGACGUAAGAUGGAACUGUACGUUCUUUUAAGUAAAGUAGAUCCAGUUCUUCCUCCCUUCGUGGGAUUGGUCUUGUACCUUGAUAUAUGUAUUUACGUUUGAAACAUGGCCAUAAAAAUGCUCUAAAAUUAAGAACGGAAUGACCUAUGAAAAAACUAGCAAGCGUAGAAACAUGAUGUUUGACGGCUGAGUUCAACCAAAUACCACAUCUCUAGUAGUCUUUAGCUGAGAUGCUUCGGCUGGCCAUAGUGGUAGUAACUUAAGUAGUAUCAUGUACUUGAGACUAACAAACAUGCUGCUGUGGCAGACAAUUAAAGAAAAGAGAGAGUGUGUUAUAGUAACAUACUCCCUCCUUUCCGGUUUAUAGGGCUCAUCUCAAAAUUUUUAGAUUUUCAUUAUAUUAGGCUCAUUUUGAGUCUAAGUGAGUUAAAGUGCUUUGAGUCUCACGCCAUAUUUAAUUCAUGGAGUUUAGAGAAAGGAGAUGAGUGGCUAUGCAUGCAUCGUUUUCUACAUCCACCAUGCAAGUCCAAUGAAAGAAAGGAUGCCACAUUUAUUGCCUUGGAAAUUGCAUUUGUGAGAAAUAUUUCAUUGGCUAGUUUAAACUAGUGUCAUCCACUCACAAUUCACCUUGAUAGAUGAGAUUUCAGAUUUGAGCCCUAUAAACCGGAAAGGAGGGAGUAGGUAGAUACCGUAUCAUGUUAAAUGAUAUGCUAUUAUGUGUCAUGCAUAUCAAUAAAUGAGGUCAUUUAUGAUACUAGUUUAUGAUACUAUGCAUUAUGAAGGUAGUAUCAUACAAUAGUAUCAUAUGCAUGAUACUAUUAUAUGAUACACCCCACUAUGAAUAGCCUUCUUCAUGUGACAUAUGCCCAAAUUUGCAUAUGCUUGCCCAUGUACAGCUCCUUCCGACAUGCAUAUUGAACACCCGACAAUACAUAUUGUGCUUAACAUGGUGUAGUAAAAAAUGGUUUGUGGUGUCCCACCUAUUCUUUGGUGUUGCUCACUAAGGCUACAAUAGGAAUUUUCUUAUACAUACUUUUUAAAGUAUCUACCCCUUAUAUACUCCCUCCAUUCCUUUAUAUAAGGUGUGUUUGUUUUUUGAUAAAAUUCCGUAAGGUAAUGUGCAUUUCUUGUAAAUCCUUGUAAUUCCCUUAUUAUCUCUCCAACAAAAGGAAAGUAUCUCUCAUGAUUGUCUGUAUCUCUCAUUCUAUAAAAAAAAACUAUCUCCCUCUCGAUUGUGUGUAUCUCUAACUUUCCUAGACUCAUUGAUUUACAUGUCACUAACCAAUAAAUUUGUCAAGGGUAAUUUUGUCCUAACACCUCUAUAAUUAUGUGUUUUGAUCACCGUGCUGAAAAUUAUACACCUUACAUAAAGGAAUGGAGGGAGUAAUUAAGAUUUUCUAGCCUUGUAGACUAGUUUUCAACCAUAUUCCAGAUCAAACUACACAACCACGAUAUAAUUCAUAUGUUUAAAUGAUUGCAAUUAUGUGCUCCAUGGGACACACACCUAUGAGCAAUACAUCAUAAUCAUGUCUAAACUCUACUAAUCACACAUUACAUUAUUAGAGCUGUAACUUCAUCUAUGACCUAAUUCCUUUCAAUUAUGAACGUAUCCGAGUAGUCUUUUUAAUAUUCACGCAAAGUAUAUUGCAUUCCAUUGAUAUUCGACUAGCUUCCUUAAGCAUAUACUCCCUUCGUUCCUUUAUAUAAGUUGUAUUUGUUUUUUGAUAAAAUUUUACAAUGUAAGGUGCAUUUCUUCUAAUUCUUCGUAAUUCCAUCGCCAACCCUUCAAAAAAAGUAUCUAUCCGCUGAUUGCAUGCAUCUCUUUUUGUACAGAGAAAAAAAGAAAAUUAUCUCUCUCCCUCUCUCUUGAUAGCAUGUAUCUCUUGCUUGCCUAGCCUAAAUGAUUUAGUUGCCACUCAUAAUGAUCUAGCCAAGGUUAAUUUCGUUCUAACAUGCGCAUAAUUAUGUCUUGGUCACCGUGACGAAAAUAAUACAGCUUACAUCAAGGAAUGGAUGGAAUAAUACUUAAUUACACUCCUGGAAGUAAUAAUUACAUGGUAAACAAGUACAGAAAUUCCAUGCAUACAUUAGUAGAUGUAUAAUUUCAUAAUUCAAUGAACCGUGUAUCAAUAAUUCCAACCCAUUUGGAUAUAUAACUCUCUCUCUCUCUCUCUCCCUCUCUCCCUCUCUCCCUCCCUUAUAAUGCGUUUACGGUUCCAGAAAAACACGUUUUGCGGCUGGCGCAGGCUGCGGCCGAACAGACUCGCUAUGAAUUUUUUGUUUUACAGUUCUGCGAUGCGGGGUCUGUUUGGCCGCAGCUCGUGUCAACCCGCAAACCAAAAAAAAUCAAAUUUGAAAAUUUAACCUCAAUUGUGACCAUUGGCUGCAAAUUUAAACAAUUAAACAUAGUUUCUGCAUAAAUUAACCAUAGUUUGAAACCAUGACGUAAAAGAACCUCAUGCAAAAUCAACCGCCACCUUCACCACCAUCUUCAUCAUUGUAAUCUCUCUUCACCACCGCAAUGGCGAAUAGUGAAGAAAAUAAAGAAAUCGAAGUAUCAUACCUUGCACCCAUUUUGUCGAACACGUUGGCUGCGCCGGCAGCAUAGUCGUCGACCAACAUCCUUAGGGUAGCUCUUGCCGGUGCAGUUGGGAAGCUGUAUGUGGGGUAGCUCUUGCGAUCGCCUUCUUGUGUUUCAAACCCGCCGCCUUUCCUUUCAGGGUCGUCGCCGGACGUACCGGAUUUGCAGCGGUGCGGCGGCGGGCCCGCGUGCCAUUCCGGUGGGGGCUGCAACAGCGCCACCCUAGACGAUGAUGUUGACAUGCUGCUUGCGGGGUUGCGCGAUGGAGCCUUGAACAACGAUGAGCGCGAAAUGGACGACGACGAGAUCUGGCAGACGACUUGCCGCAUGGAUGACUUCAACGGUGACGGACGACGACUCGGAGGCUUCCAUGGCGGCAAUGGGUGACCGGCGAUAGUGGUCCGGAGCGGGCGGAGGUGGAUCAAUGAUGGCGAAGAUACGACCGUUCGAAAAUGUCACUCCGGCCAAAAAUCGUUGCCGUUUGGGGAUCAAUUCUGGGUCGGGCUCCUAGCCCGUGAAUCUAAAGGUUGAGGACGAAUAUUUACCAUGGCCCGCAAUAUUGUUUUACAGACCGAGACCCGAUACGGAUCUGUCCGGGUUACUUUUUCUGUGCAAAACCCUUAACUGGCGGUUAUUUUGCAGGUUGUUGGGGUGAUAUAGGGGUCUGCUAGAGUUUCUCUAACUCCACUAUCCACUAUCAGGCAAUGAUGGCAUUGUGAGAUAGAAUACAUAUGCAUAUUCUUCAAGUAUGCAUAAAGUUUCAUCUACUAAUUUUAUUAUUUGCAUGCUGCACAAAAAAGACAAAUAUUAGUACCCCCAAUAAAGGCCUAUUUUAAUCCAUGUAUUUGUCUUUUUUGUGUGUACAUCACAUAUUAACAUAUAUCUUUAUGAAAUUUUAUACAUGUAUACUAAUGUCUAUGUAUGUUUUUUUCAGAUUUUUUUAUAUGUAAAAGAAGUAUUUUCAUUGAAAGAUAAAUAAAGAGCUAUAUGGAGCUCGGUUGCUGCUUGCACUUUUCAGCAGUUCUACCGUUACUAACUUGAACUUCUAAACUUCCCUAGAAAAAGAAAUUGAGCCUCUAAAGCGACCGAAUCUUUAAACUAAACAAGUGUGCAUGAUCAAGAAGAAAAAUCUGAACGCAACUCUUCUUGCUUGCAGUUGCAUGUAUAAAAUUAGUAUAUAAUAUACAUAUACAGCUCAUACGUAGCAAACUGCAGCUGCUCAAGCAGAGAGCGACACAAAAUAUAUUCUAAUGCGUGGGAAAGAGAUCAUGAAAGCAAUUGAAACGGUUUAAUCCAUUGAGCGUGUGACGUCUUAAGUUUUGGCUGUUGCAGCUAGUAAUUAAUUCUUAGGGAGAAGUAAGGGAGAUCAGCAAGUUCCAUUAUGCUGCCGUCCAAAGGAAAAGUUUCAUUUUGCUCUUAUCAUCAUCCUUUGAAAGCUGAUCGGGAGAAACUUUGCUCGUAUCCAAUAUGAUACGCAUGGAAUUAUUGAUCCAGGAAAUUAACUUAACUUCGCCAUUGACCCGGCAAUUGCAUGCAUAGUAAAAGACAGAUACACAACACGUGACUUCCACUGUCAUAAAAUUUCAAGUCCAAAUUCAAUAUAUAUAUACAGGGUCGCGCUAUUCGUCACCCUGGGUGAGGAAUAUUUAUUGUUCACCCCCACUAUUUUCACAUUAAUACACCGUAAUUUUACGUUUCUUAAAUUUUAAUCUUAUCUCAUACGUAAAAAUAGACCGUAAAAAAAUACAUAGUCACCGCAAAAAAUAUUUUAUGUCACGUAAAAUUAGAAACAUAAAAACAUAGUGUAAAUUAUACAUAAAAUGCGAUUUUUCUGGUCUUAUGAUCUAUAUACUCCCUCCGUCCCAAAAUAACUGUCUCAAGCUUAAUGCAAUUUUAUACUAGAGCUAGUACAAAGUUGAGACACUUAUUUUGGGACAGAGGGAGUAUUUGUUUUCUUAUGGCAAAUUUUCCGUAGUUAAUCAAUAUAAAUGUAUCUAUUUGCAUUUCAAAUUUAAUUUAUUUAUGAAAUGGUCGUAAAAUUACCUCGAGUGAGGAAUAAUUUAUUCUGCACCCUGGAUGAUGAAUAGAGUUUCUAUAUACAUAUAUACAUAUAUGUAUGUAUGUAUGUAUGUAUAUAUCUAUAUAUAUAUAUCUAUAUAUAUAUACACACACAUGUAACCAUUAGCAGUUAUUUUUCAGUUUUGGUUACGCAUAUUGUGAAUUUUAUUUUUUCACAACUUUGAGAGGCAUUUCAAUCGAGCUUAAUUAAGAGUACAAGCAGGGGCGAUGGGGGAGGGAGCACACCUGAUACAUUCCCACCCUAGCUCCAGCAAUAAGAAUGUCAUAUCAAUUAUAUAUAUUAGAAGUACUUGAUGGCCUCUCCGGAAAAAAGAGAAGUAGACCAGAAAAUUCCACAAAAAAUUGAAACAUUGAACCGUUUAUUGAAUAGACUAAAAAAAUCUAUAGCAAUUAGAUAAUUUUCAAAGUACAAAAAUUACCCGCAAUUGCCAUUAAAACAAAAACAUGUUUCAGCACUUCCUUAUAAUAAUAACAUGAAACUACGUCCAAAAAAUGCUAUGUUACAGUAAAAGUGAAGAGCUACUUAGGAUUACCUAAAAAGAAAAAUGAUCCAUCUCACGCGUACGUAUGGAUGCACUACAUAGAACAACAGCCUUGCUAUAUUCAUGCACUAAGUUUCAAAAAGAAAAAAACUAAGCUUGACAUGGGUUGAUGUUUUGCUAUAUAAACGCAUGCAUUUUUUCCAAUAUACAUGGACACAUGAAAAAAGACUUGUAUGCACAUCGCCUCCAAUGGGUUCUCUGGUCCUAAGAGCGCAUAAAAAAAAGUCCCCCGCAAAUAAAAAGAGCGCAUAAAAAACGUAUAUGCAUUGCCUCGAAUGAUUUCUCUUGUCCUGUUCAAUUGUUUGAUGCUUCCUUCGUUUCAAAAUAAGUAACUUAACAUUAAUACAACUUUUAUAUUAAAGUUAAUAUAAAAUUAAGGCACUUAUUUCAAAAUGGAAGAAGUAUGAUUUCUUAAUAGCCCCAACGUUCUUCCACGAGUAUGGAGUGGAACAACCAGACAACUGAAGGCAGCACCGAUGGUCGCGACAUGUCCAAAAAUAUACUGGUUGAGGGGUAUUCUUCCGUUUUCCGGCUACCUCCUCUCAUCUCGGUUCCCACAAUUCCUUUUAGCGGCCCAUUGUUUCCAGCUGGACCCUAGGAGUUUUGUGACGGCCAUGUUCAAGCCGUUCAUGCUAGCGGCCCAGUGCUUCGGCCCCAACGUAGCUUUUUACUUGAAAUCACUAAUUAGCGAAUACACCUUUCAAUGAUUAUUCUCACCUUCACAGAUUGUGACAGGUGACGCACUGCAUGCGUGUCAUUUGUCGCAACCUGGGAGUAUUUUUUUUUCGUAGAUCCGUAUUUUCAAAAUGUUUUUUUUCCUAAACCGUACAUCCAAAUCUCGAACCAUUUUCAUCGUUGACUUUCUCGCGUCGAGAUCUUCAAAACUAGAUCCCAUGUUGAUAGAUUUUUGACGAACAUUUUUUCACGAAAAAACCAGAAGAAAAAAACCGGGACGAAAAACCGUGCCUCACGAGAUAGAAAAAAACAGAAAACGCGUUUUUUCCUUUUCGAGAGGCAUGGGUCAUGCCUCUCGCGAAGGCAAAAUUGUGCCUCUCGCGAAAGCAAAACCGUGCCUCCCGCGGAAAAAAAGAGAGCAGAAAACGCGAUUUUCCCUUUUCGGGAGAGGCACGGGCGUGUCUCUCGCUUAGGCAAAACCGUGCCUCUCACAAAAAAAAAACAGAAAACACGUUUUUUCCCCUUUCAGGAGAGGCACGGGCGUGCCUCGCGAAGGCAAAACCAUGCCUUUCGCGGAAGCAAAACCGUGCCUCUCGCAAAAAAGAGAGCCGCGAGCGUGCCUCUCGCGAAGGCAAAACCAUGCCUUUCGCGGAAGCAAAACCGUGCCCCUCGAAAAAAACAAAAAACACGUUUUUUUUCUUUUCAAGAGGCACGGCCGUGCCUCUCGUGAAGGCAAAACAAUGCCUCUCGCGAAAGCAAAACCGUGCCUCCCGGAAAAAAAAAGAAAACGUGUUUUUUUCCGAAAAAAUUGAUUUUUUUUCGUCCAAAAGUUAUGAAAGACCGGUGAAAAACUGUAACACCAAAAAAACAGAAAAACCCACUAAAAAAGGCGAAAACGCAUGCGAAAAAAUAAAAAAAGAAAAUCCGAAGGAAACGCUCAAAACGCGACACAUGACGGCUGCUGAAAACGCGUCAAGUGACGACGUGCGGGAGCAAUCGCUGGAAGGCUUCCGAGGAAGCACUUUCUAACUAGUUGCUCUCCUUUUUACCAGUGUCGUUUGCUUCUAUGUCCAGGGUCACACGUGUCUAAUACCGAGACCCAGACAAAAAACAUGGAUACGUGAUAUGUAGGGUAAUACAACGGAAAAAAAAUUGACCUACGCACUAGCUCACGACCACUAUGAAGAUGCAUACAAGAUCUGAUCUGAUCAUUACUACCUCGUAACCCAGUGAAAGAAGAGUUGGUGAAGAUCAUCGGUGCAGAUUCCUGCAUCUAGGAUUUUAUAGCCUCCCAACCACGAGGAUGUACUCCCUCAGAUAGUCCUUCAGGAGGCUCUCAGAUUAAUCCUCGGACAGAACCUCAGGGUGUUUCUUGAAUUAAGAUCAAAACUACGACCCCUCUACCGGGUUGCACCCUCCGGUGUCAACUAUCCAGCAAAGCUUCGUCGUCCAGAGUUAGGCCCUACCGAAGACUAGACAUCCUUUCACCGUAUGAAACUAUUUUGCGGAGAUAGAAAUGGAAAGCAAGAUCAUUGCAUGGUACAUAUUGAGAGAGGACUUGGGAUGAAAUGGAGAGCUCUUUCCACCUCUAUCUAUGGUGGGAGCAAGGGGUAGAGGCUAUGUGAAGAAAUACCAAAAUGCCUCAAAUAUUUUUCACCAAAAGCAACAAAAGGGGGGAAAAUGGAGCUCCAUGGAGGAGCUCGACCUCCAACCGUCCAUGCAUGUGUGGGGCCCAGACACACCUCCCCAUGUCACCCUCCAUUGACUUUAGUGAAAAUCCCCAAAAGAUGGCUUUUCAAAAAGCUACAAAAAAUGGGUGUACUCCCUCCGUUUCUUUUUACUCUGCAUAUAAGGUUUGGUCAAAGUCAAGCUUUGUAAAGUUUGACUAACUUUAUAUUAAAAAAUAUCAACAUUCACAACAUGAAAUCAAUAUUAUCAGAUGCAUCACGAGAUGUAUUUUCCUACUAUAUAAUUUUACUAUAGUAGAUAUUCAUAUUUUUUAUAUAAAUUUGAUCAAACUUUAUGUUGUUUGACUUUGACCAAAUCUUAUACGCGAGUAAAAAGAAAUGGAGGGAGUACCAUAAUAGUUUUGCCAUUAUUCAUGAGUAUUUUUAUGAAAUAAUUUUCCGUGACCAUUCAAUCUGACAAUAUUUUGAAAGGUCCAGAACAGUUUCGGCAAACCCUUAAAAUAUUUUUGGACGUGUUUCGAAACAUUUCCUGUAUGAUGUUUUUAUAUCUGAAACAUUUCCAGUUUUCUCUCCGAAACCUCUCCUCGUCUCCGAAACUUUUUCGAUGACUUUCUAUGAGACUCUAUGUCUAUUACUUAGCAGAUAGAUGACUCUUAAAUGUGUGACCCUGUAAGCUCGGUGAAAUAUAGACAUAUGACCGGAACUCUUUCCAAUCAAUGAUCAAUAGUGGAACCGUGAAGAUAGGCUUGAUCAUAAUAUAUACUUUGGAGAAAGAGCAAAUGCUAAGCAAUGAAACGACCAGUUCAUCUUUCAGAGAGAGAGUAGAAAUGCGAUUAAAUGGAAAUUUAUUGGAAAAAUUUGUGAAUGGUCACACGACAAUUUGUUAUAAAUGUUUAACUUAUCACAAGGGUGAACAAAAUUCUAAUCAUCAUAUUUGAAAACAAAUUCUACUAUUUGCCGUGGGACAUUCCAAAACAUUCCUACAAAAUGCCAUAAGAAUAAUUAUUUAUAGUUUACCAUGAAAAUAUUUUCGAAAUCAUUUCCAUUUGUAAACAUAAAAAAUCUAAAAAGUUACCUGCUACGGCAACAAAAGACCUUCCCCGGCUAUGGCACCAGGAAUCCUUCUCCUGGUAGCUACGCCUACACGGACUUCCUUGCCAAAUAUGCAAAGAAUCCCCCGUGGCCUUGGAGCCUUGCGUUGGUGUUCCCUUGAAGAGGAAAGGGUGAUGUAGCACUGCAGCAGUAAGUAUUUCCCUCAAUUUGAGAACCAAGGUAUCGAUCGAGUAGGAGGAUCGCAUCAAGUCACUAGUACCUGNAUGAUGUAGAUGGACAAUUUCAAAUCUAUGAUGAAAGCCCAUCUUGUUACCCUUGAUGGAAACAACACGAUGCGUGCCUUGCUGCCCCUUCUGGGAAAGGUCACCGCACGGUAUGAACCCAAAACCAAGCACUUCUCCCAUUGCAAGAAUCAUAGAUCUAGUUGGCCAAACAAAACCCAAGACUCGGAGAGACUUACAAGGAUAUCAAAUCAUGCAUAUAAGAAAUCAGCAAAGACUCAAAUAUAAUUCAUAGGUAAUCUGAUCACAAAUCCACAAUUCAUCGGAUCUCGACAAACACACCGCCAAAGAGGAUUACAUCGGAUAGAUCUCCAUGAAGAUCAUGGAGAACUUUGUAUUGAAAAUCCAAGAGAGAGAAGAAGCCAUAUAGCUACUAACUACGGACCCGUAGGUGUGAAGUAGACUACUCACGAGUCAUUGGAGAGGCGAUGAUGUUGAUGUAGAAGCCCUCCAACUCCAAAGUCCCCUCCGGUAGGGCACCGGGAAGGGUCUCCAGAUGAGAUCUCACGGAAACGGAAGCCUGCAUCGGCGGAAAAGUGUUUUCAUGGAUGCCCUGAUUUUUUCUGGGAUUUUAGGAAUUUAUAGGCCAAAGAGCUAGGGCAGGGGAGCGUCAGGGAGGCCACAAGCCUGGUCGCCGCGGGCCCCCCUGGCCGCGGCGUCAGGGCUUGUGGGCUCCCUGUGGGCCCCCUGCCUUGGCCCUCAAGUCCCCCGAUCUUCUUCUGUUCUGGAAAAAUUUAUUUUGGCGAUUUUAUUCCGUUUGGACUCUGUUCGAAAAUCAGAUCUGAAAAGAGUCAAAAAACAGGAAUUGGCACUUGGCACUGAAUUAAUAAGUUAGUCCCAAAAAAGAUAUAAAAGGUAUAUAAAACAUCCAAAGUUGACAAGAUAACAGCAUGAAACCAUCAAAAAUUAUAGAUACGUUUGAGACGUAUCAAGCAUCCCCAAGCUUAACUCCUGCUCGUCCUCGAGUAGGGAAGUGAUAAAGAAUGAAUUUUUGAUGCUUUCAUGCUACCUAGCAUAGAUGUCCUUUGUAACUCCUCUUAUGUGACGUGAAUGUUCAGAUCCAUUAGAUUCAAAACAAUAGUUUGCUAUUGACAUGGAGACAAUAAUACUUCAAGCAAACUAGCAAGGUAAUCAUGAACUUUCAAAAUAACAAAGCCAAAAGAAAGUUAUCCCUACAAAAUCAUAUAGUCUGGCUAUGCUCUAUCAUCCUUGCACAACGAAUUUAAAUCAUGCACAACCUCGGUAUUGGCCAAGUAAUUGUUUUCACAUCUUUACUUUUUCAAACUUUUUCAACUCUCACACAAUACAUGAGCGUGAGCCAUGGUUUUAGCACUAUAAGUGGAGUGGAGUGUGGUGGAGGUUGCAAGACAAACAAGGAGAAUAUGGUCACAUUGACUAGGCAUAUCAAUGAGCUAUGGAGAUGUUCAUCAAUAGAUAUCAACGUGAAUGAGUAGGGAUUGACAUACAAUUGAUGCACUAGAGCUAAGAGUAUGUGAAAGCUCUUAAAGAAAACUAGUGGGUGUGCAUCCAACUUGCUUGCUCACGAAGACCUAAGGCAAUUUUGAGGAAGCCUAUUAUUGGAAUAUACAAGCCAACUUAUAUAAUGAAAAUUUCCCACUAGCUAUAUGGUGGUGACAAAACGAGAGACUCUCAAUCAUGAAGAUCAUGGUGCUUAAUAUGAAGCACAAGUGUGGAAAGGAGAUACUAGCAUUUUCCCUUCUCUCUUUUUCUCUCAUUUUUUUGUGGGCUCUUUGGCCUCUUUUUUUAUAUAUUUUUUAUUUUGGUGGGCAUCUUUGGCCUCUUUUUGUAAAUGGGCUUCGCUGGCCUCUUUUAUUUCCUCACAUGGGACAAUGCUCCAUCAAUGAUGAUCAUCACACUUACAACUCAAAACUUAGAGCAAUGAUGACUCUAUAUGAAAUGCCUUCGGUAGUGUACCGUGACAAUGAUCUAGCAUGGCAUAAACAUCAAUGGAAACAUCAUGCUAGCUAUCUUAUGAUCAUGCAAUGGCAAUGUAGAAGUGGUGGCACAUGUCAUGGUGGUAGUUGCAUGGCAAUAUAUCUCGGAAUGGCUUUGAAAAAACCAUAAUAGGUAGGUAUGGUGGCUGUUUUGAGGGAGGCUAUAUGGUGGGUUUUGUGCAUCGGCGAAAGUUGUACGGCACUAAAGAAGAUAGUGAUGGUGGAAGGUGAAAGUGCAUCUAAACCAUGGACUCAACAUUAGUCAUGAAGAACUCAUAUACUUGUUGCAAAAGUUUUAGUAGUAAUCGAAACAAAGCAUUCAACGCAUACUCCUAGGGGAAGGGUUGGUAGGUAUAAACCAUCGCGCGAUCCCGACCGCCACACAAAGGAUGACAAUCAAUAGACUAAUCAUGCCCAGACUUCAUCACAUAGCGGUUCACCAUACGUGCAUGCUACGGGAAUCACUAACUUCAACACAAGUAUUUCUAGAUCCACAACACCUUACUAGUAUAACUUCAAUAUUACCACAACCAUAACUCAAAACUAAUUGAGAUGAAUCAAACUUCUCUAACUGUUCAAUGCACAUGAAGGUGGAAGUUUUCAUAUCCCUUUGGAUAAAUUCCCCUUUUGAGACUACUUUCAUAGCAUAAGCCAACUACCAAGACACGCGCUUCCGUGCUCUAAAAGAUAUAAGUGAAGCACAGAAAGCAAAAUCAACUAGCUCAAAAGAUAUAAGUGAAACACAUGUGAGCUGAAUUGUCUAACCAAAGGAUAUAAGUGAAGCUCGACAAAAUCACGGUGAGUGCAUGUCUCUCUCUCUAGGCGUGCAACAAGGAAGAUUGUGACACAACAAAAAUAAAAGACUCCUACGAUACAAGACACUCCAAGCAAAACACAUAACAUGUGGUGAAUAAAAAUAUAGCCCCAAGUAACGUUACCGAUGGAUUGAAGACGAAAGAGGGGAUGCCUUCCCGGGGCAUCCCCAAGCUUAGGCUUUUACGGUAUCCUAGAAUCAGCUUGGGGUGCCUUGGGAAUCCCCAAGCUUGAGCUCUUGCCACUCUUUAUCUCUUUGUCCAUAAGAAAUUCACCCAAAACUUGAAAACUUCACAACACGAAACUUAAACAGAAACUCGUGAUAACAUUAGUAUAAGAAAGCAAACCACCACUUCCUUAGAUACUGUAGCAAACUUAAAUUCUACUUAUGUUGAUGUUGGGUUACUGUAUUUUCAAUCUUCCAUGGCUAAUACCCCCCGAUACUAUCCAUAGUUUCAUCAAAAUAAGCAACCAACUCAACAAAAACAUAAUCUCUUAACAGCAGACCAGUCUGUAGUAAUCUGUAUACUUCGUUUACUUCUGUUACUUCAAACAUUCUGAAAAAUUACGACAGCCUGAAGAAUUUGAAUAGCAAUCAGAAGCAAAAAGAAUCAACUCAAAAUCUCUUACAGAAAAAAAAUGAAAAUUCUUUUCGUGAGGAGAAAGUUUCUGUCUUUUCCAACACGAUCAAACGAUCAUCCCCAAGACUAAUCAUAACGGUUUUACUUGGCACAAACGCAAAAGAAACACAAAAAACACAAUCAUAACAGAAUUAUGAAAGUGUGGAAAACACAAAACAUAAAGAAAAAGGAUAGAUUCGUUGGGUUGCCUCCCAACAAGCGCUAUUGUUUAACGCCCUUAGCUAGGCAUAAGGUGAUGGAAUCACGUAUAGUCAUCUUUGGUGCUCAAACCAUAAGUAGCCCUCAUCAUAGAUUCAUAAGGCAAUCUUAUUUUCUUUCUAGGAAAAUGCUCCAUGCCCUUCUUUAGAGAAAAUUGAAAUCUAAUAUUCCCUUCCUUCAUAUCGAUGAUAGCACCAAUAGUCCUUAGGAAAGGUCUACCAAGAAUAAUGGGACAUGAAGGAUUACAAUCUAUGUCAAGUACAAUGAAAUCCACGGGUACAUAGUUCUUAUUUGCAACAAUAAGAACAUCAUCGAUCCUUCCCAUGGGUUUCUUGACAGUAGAAUCCGCAAGAUGCAAAUUAAGAGAACACUCUUCAAUCUCAUGAAACCAAGAAUAUCACAUAAAGACUUUGGAAUCGCGGAAACACUAGCACCCAAAUCACACAAAGCAUUGCAUUCAUAGUUUUUGAUCUUGAUUUUGAUAGUAGGUUCCCACUCAUCAUGAAGUUUUCUAGGUAUAGAGACUUCUCAUUCGAGUUUCUCUUCAAGAGAUUUCAUCAUAGCAUCUACGAUAUGUGCGGUAAAGGCUUUGCUUUGGCUAUAAGCAUGUGGAGUGUUUGCAAUGGAUUGCAUCAAGGAAAUGCAUUCAAACAAGGAGCAACUAUCAUAAUUGAAUUCCUUGAAAUCCAAAGCGGGAGUUUCAUUACUACCCAAUAUUUUGAUUUCUUCUACUCCACUCUCGACACCUUUAUCAUCAAGAUAGGUGGACUCCGAAUCAUUGGGGCGUUUUUCAACCAAAGUGGAUUCAUAUCCAGCCCCUUCAUCAAUAGGUUUGACAUGCGAAAACAAAGAUUCAAGAGGGGUCACACCAAGCACUUUAAGAUCUUCGUGAUUUGCAUCACUAGAACGCACCCUUUUAAACCAUUCAUGCCUAGCGCGAAUUUGGGCGGUUCUUUCUUUGCUCUCAUUCAUGGAGACACGCAUAGCUUUUAAAGUUUCAUCCAAGUUGACCUUGGGAGGAGCACAUCUAACUUUCAAAGCAUCAAUAUCACAAGACAUCCUAUCAACGCUCUUAGCCAAAUCGUCUAUUUUGAGUAGUUUUUCCUCUAUGGACGCAUUGAAAAUCUUUUGAGAGUUGAUGAACUCUUUGAUAUUACUCUCUAAAUCAGAGGGUAAUUUGUUAUGAUUUCCAUAAGUGUUGUUGUAGGAAUUGCCAUAGUUGUUAGAGGAGUUACUAGGAAAAGGCCUAGGAACAUAGUUUCCUCUAAAAGCAUUGUUGUUGCCAAAAUUGUUCCUACCAACAAAAUUAACGUCCAAACUAGCGUUUCUACUCUCAAUCAAGGAAGAUAGUGGCAUGCCAUUAGGAUCUAAAGGAGCAUUUCUACUAGCAACCAAAUUCAUCAACUCAUCCAUCUUAGCACUAAGCGAGUUAAUUUCUUCUAUAGCGUGUACCUUUUUGCUAGCAAGUGACCUUUCAGUGUGCCACUGAGAGUAGUUGGUCAUGAUAUUGUCUAGGAGUUUUGUAGCUUCUCCUAACGUGAUUUCCAUGAACGUUCCACCUGAGGCGGAGUCCAAGAUAUUGCGAGAAGCAAAAUUCAAACCAGCGUAAAAGAUUUGUAUAAUCAUCCACAAACUCAAGCCAUGAGCGGAACAAUUUCUAAUCAUUAACUUCAUCCUCUCCCAAGAUUGUGCAACGUGUUCAUGAUCAAGUUGCUUGAAAUUCAUGAUAUCGUUACGGAGAGAGAUAAUCUUAGCCGCCGGAAAAUACUUGGAUAUGUAAGCAUCUUUGCACUUAUCCCAAUAAUCGAUACUAUUUUUGGGCAAAGAAGAAAACCAAGUUUUUGCGCGAUCUCACAAUGAGAAAGGAAAAUCUUCAACUUAACAACAUCAUUAUCCACAUCUCUUUUCUUUUGCAUAUCGCAAAGCUCAAUGAAGGUAUUGAGAUGGGAUGCGCCAUCUUCACUAGGAAGGCCAGAAAAUUGCUCUUUCAUAACAAGAUUCAGCAAGGCAGCGUUGAUUUCAUAUAAUUCCGUACUAGUGGCGGGAGCAAUCGGAGUACUAAUAAAAUCAUUAUUAUUAGUAUUCGAGAAGUCGCAAAGUUUGGUGUUGUCAGCCAUGAUGACUUCAACAAACAAACAAGAACACAAGCAAGCAAGAAAACUGGCAAAAGAAAACGACAAAGGAGAAAGGCAAAUGAAAACGGCAAAGGAGAAAGGCAAAUGAAAACGGCAAAUGUGAAGUGGGGGAGAGGAAAACGAGAGGCAACUGGCAAAAAAGGUAAAUGCAAGAGAUGAGUUUGUGACACCUACUUGGAUAGAUUUUGACUUGAUCUCUCCUCCCCGGCAAUGGCGCCAGAAAUAGGCGUGUUGACGGGAAAGUAUUCUUGUCUUGAUACUCCUCGGCAGACGAUCCUCCACGGCAACGGCGCCAGAAAUCCUUCUACUACGGCAACAAAAGACCUUCCUCGGCUACGACGCCAGGAAUCCUACUGCUGCUGGCUACGCCUACAAGGACUUCCUUGGCAAAUAUGCAAAGGAUUCCCCCGUGGUCUUGGAGCCUUGCGUUGGUGUUCCCUUGAAGAGGAAAGGGUGAUGUAGCACUGCGGCAUUAAGUAUUUCCCUCAGUUUGAGAACCAAGGUAUCGAUCCAGUAGGAGGAUCGCGUCAAGUCACUAGUACCUGCACAAACACAAAGAGCUUGCACCCAACGCUAUGAAGGGGUUGUCAAUCCCUUAUAGAUUGUUUGUAAAGUGAGAACUGAAAGCAAAAAGGAAACAAAGCAAAGUAAAAGUAAAAGUGGAGACGAUAGUUGUGAAUAGACCCGGGGGCCGUAGUGUUCACUAGUGGCUUCUCUCAUGAAAGCAAGUAGACGGUGGGUGAACGAAUUACUGUCGAGCAAUUGAUAGAACCGCGCAAAGUCAUGACGUUAUCUAUGGCAAUGAUCACAUCUAUAGGCAUCACGUCCAAAACAAGUAGACCGAUACUUUGUGCAUCUACUACUAUUACUCCACACGUCGACCGCUAUCCAGCAUGCAUCUCGUGUAUUGAGUUCAAAAGAACAGAGUAACGCCUUAAGCAAGAUGACAUGAUGUAGAUGGACAAUCUCAAAUCUAUGUUGAAAGCCCAUCUUGUUACCCUUGAUGGAAACAACACGAUGCGUGCCUUGCUGCCCCUUCUGUCACUGGGAAAGGUCACCGCACGGUAUGAACCCAAAACCAAGCACUUCUCCCAUUGCAAGAAUCAUAGAUCUAGUUGGUCAAACAAAACCCAAGACUCGGAGAGACUUACAAGGAUAUCAAAUCAUGCAUAUAAGAAAUCAGCAAAGACUCAAAUAUAAUUCAUAGAUAAUCUGAUCACAAAUCCAUAAUUCAUCGGAUCUCGACAAACACACCGCCAAAGAGGAUUACAUCGGAUAGAUCUCCAUGAAGAUCAUGGAGAACUUUGUAUUGAAGAUCCAAGAGAGAGAAGAAGCCAUCUAGCUACUAACUACGGACCCGUAGGUCUGAAGUAGACUACUCACGAGUCAUUGGAGAGGCGAUGAUGUUGAUGUAGAAGCCCUCCAACUCCAAAGUCCCCUCCGGCAGGGCACCGCGAAGGGUCUCCAGAUGAGAUCUCGCGGAAACGGAAGCUUGCGGCGGCGGAAAAGUGUUUUCGUGGAUGCCCUGAAUUUUUCUGGGAUUUUAGGGAAUUUAUAGGCCAUAGAGCUAGGGCAGGGGAGCGCCAGGGAGGCCACAAGCCUGGUCGCCGCGGGCCCCCCUGGCCGCGGCGUCAGAGCUUGUGGGCUCCCUGUGGGGCCCCUGCCUUGGCCCUCAAGUCCCCCGAUCUUUUUCUGUUCUGGAAAAAUUUAUUUCGGGGAUUUUAUUCCAUUUGGACUCCGUUUCAAAAUCAGAUAUGAAAAGAGUCAAAAACACAGAAAAAACAGAAACUGACACUUGGCACUGAAUUAAUAAGUUAGUCCCAAAAAAAAGAUAUAAAAGGUAUAUAAAACAUCUAAAGUUGACAAGAUAAAAGCGUGAAACCAUCAAAAAUUAUAGAUACAUCUGAGACGUAUCAUUGCCAUGAACCAUAUGCAACAUUUGCCAUGUACACUAUUUCUUUAUUUUUGCCAUGAACCAAUACAAAAUGCCAUGUGACGGUACCAAAAUAAUAAAAGUGUGACAGUUAGCCUUAUGAAUAGAAAAUGCCAUGGUCUGUCUUAAAAGUUGCAUGGUGCUAUGUGACAGUGCUCUAGAAAAUGCCAAGCUGCAUUAAACAAAUUCCAUGUAAUUAAAAUAAAUAAAAUUCAGGGAUAUUAAUCGAUUUUAUGCCCUUAGUUGGGUGACACACUUGGUUGGUUUACCCUUAAUUUCUAAAAACACGUGUUCCUGCCCAAACUACUUUGCCCCUCAUAUGCUUUUUCCCUUGAGUGUUUGAACGUUACUUUAAAAUUUUCAUAAAAAAUCAUAAUAAAUAAGAAAAAUGCAAAUAAAUUAUAAAAAUAUUCAGAAAACAUCACUUAUAUGUGCAUGUCAUUUGCAUUCAUGAGAAAAUUGUUUGAAAUUCCCUAUCUCAGUUUUAGCUCAUAUGAUCUUAGCAUGAACAACAUAAUCUGAAAAAAUUGAAAACAAAUUCUAAAUAUUAUAUAAAAAAUUGGUGGGAAACAUUGAACAAUGUUUUGAGUGGUGCCAAGUUUCAUUAGGGAAUGAUAGUCCUGGAAGUUGUGGCAAACACAAUAAAAUCAAUUCUCCAAAACAAAAGCACUUUGGAGUGCUAAUUUUUUUCCACGACUUUCACGAAUGUCAUUCCCUUAUGAAACUUGGCAAGCAGUCAAAACAUUGGUCAAUCUUUGUAACCAAAUGUUUUUAGAAAUUUUAUAAUUUGUUUUCAAUUAUUUUAGAUUAUACUUUUCAUACUAAGAUCAUAUGAGAUAAAACAUACAUAUGGACUUUCCAACACUUAUGUAAAGAAUGCAAAUGACAUGCACAUAUAGAUGAUGUUUUCCAAACAUUUUGAUAUCCUUUUUGAAUUUUUCUGAGUUAGUAUGUUUUUUUAUGAAGUUUCCAAAGUGAUUGUCAAACGAUCAAAGGCAGAAGCAUAAGACGAACAAAGUGGUUUGGGUAGGAACACAUGUUUUUGGAAACUAGGGCUUAACCAGCCGAGUGUGACCCAACUAGGGGCAUAAAACCAGCUAUACCUAAAAUUUAACAUGCUCUAUGGUGAUACGUUUAUAGAAAAAGCUUAAUUAUAGAAAAAUACAUCUAUACAAAAGGUAAAGUAACACAUGUACAUAAUCACCAUAUAUAUCAAAAUGAAAAAUUAUUUAUAUGAAAAAGAAAAUUUGCCAUGAUUGAAUUAAUAAAAUGGCCAUGCUACAAUCCAAGUCAGGGAUGUUUAUAUUCCAAGUCAGGGAUGAUCCACCAAUCACUGGAUAAAAUAUCUCAAAUCUCUUCUGUUUUACUACAAUCCAAAUUCCCAUCCACUGGUCCCUUACAACCACAACCAAGUAAUAACCACAACCAAGGAAUGAUGAAGACCAAUUAUAUAAAAGAAAAAGGCAAAAACUGCCUAGAUUUAGCUAAAACAAUGGCAUUUGCCUAAAAACUGCCCAGAUUUAGCUAAAAUAAUGGCAAAAACUUCACAAUUUUCAGAUUCCAUCGGGUCGCCUCAUUUCAGGCGAGAAUUAGGCCGUUUGUCCGGUUUGGGGUCAGUUCUCAGGCCGGUUGUUACGCUAUGCAAUUAUGUAGGCCAGUUUUUGGAUGUUUGACUGGUUUGCCUUCUUGGGACUCUGGAGACCACCAGCUUUGGGCUUUUUCUUUCCUCCACCCUCAAAAAGAGGUACUCACGUGUCCUCUUUGAUUUUUCGUUAUUUAUUUUCUUGUUUUCUCAUGGUGCAAAACUCAUUGCUUGGCUGUGCGUAUAUACACCAAUUGCAUGUUUGAAUNNNNNNNNNNNNNNNNNNNNNNNNNNNNNNNNNNNNNNNNNNNNNNNNNNNNNNNNNNNNNNNNNNNNNNNNNNNNNNNNNNNNNNNNNNNNNNNNNNNNNNNNNNNNNNNNNNNNNNNNNNNNNNNNNNNNNNNNNNNNNNNNNNNNNNNNNNNNNNNNNNNNNNNNNNNNNNNNNNNNNNNNNNNNNNNNNNNNNNNNNNNNNNNNNNNNNNNNNNNNNNNNNNNNNNNNNNNNNNNNNNNNNNNNNNNNNNNNNNNNNNNNNNNNNNNNNNNNNNNNNNNNNNNNNNNNNNNNNNNNNNNNNNNNNNNNNNNNNNNNNNNNNNNNNNNNNNNNNNNNNNNNNNNNNNNNNNNNNNNNNNNNNNNNNNNNNNNNNNNNNNNNNNNNNNNNAUUCAAACAUGCAAUUGGACACGUGAUAUAACCUGAAUCAUCCACUCAACUACUCAUCAUCUAAGACGAGGAAGAAUCUACUACUAACCACAUAUAGGAUGGUCAAGAAACUGUUGUUCAUGGCCGUCCUUCUCAUCGCUUCCCGUAAGUGUUCAAUAAGAGCUAACUGAUAAGUAUCAUUUUUUACAUAUGUUUAGUGGGGGUGGCAACAACGGCGGUGCGGGGCGAGCAGGUGUGCGACGUGCUAAGGGGGGAGUGCAUGAUCAAGUGCUGGCACGGGACCAGCAAGUGUAUGUGUUGCUUCCAGGCCCUAGCUAGGCUACGUACUGCUGCAAUGACGACGGCGCACCUCCCUCCCCGCCAUCCAUCACAAGAGCGGCACGGCCGGCUGCCAUAGAUAGUGCCAUAUUUUAAGUUCAUGAAAAUUUUAACUUUUUUUGGAUAUUGUUUUCAAGUUUUUGAAUAUUUCUAAAAUUUAUGCACAUUUUCAUAUAGUUAGUGUAAUAAACAUAGUUUGAAAACAUAUAUAUACUCCCUCCGAUGCAAAAUAAUUGUUGUCUUUUUAGUUCAAAUUUUAACUAAAUAAAUAAUUGAGUACUUUCUCAUAAGUUUAAGAAAUAUAAAUACAAACUCGAAGGCAGAAAGGAAAAAAAAAACCCAAGCAAACUCGUAUGUACGUACAUGAUAGUGAGCGUCUCUUACUUGCGCGCUGGCCUAGCCUAUUUAUUCUCUAUUCUUGCUACAAAAAGACGAAGCACGCCGUAUACUGCCGAGGUCCCUCUUGCCGACCUCAAAUCGCCAAUCUUCAAGCAUGCAUGGUUGGUUCAAUGCCAAUCGUAUGGCUACCUAUCCUUUUUGUCAAUCUCUCGAAAAAGUUGUCAACUUUUGAUUUUCUCAAAUGCUUGCAUCAAACAAAUUGUGCUCUGUUUAUUUCAACUCCCUCUAUCUUACAUGUCACGAAAAUGAAUGUACCUGGAACUAAUAGUAUGUCUAAAUACAUUUUUAUGACAAGUAAUUUCAAAAAAAAGAUGUAGCAAAUAAAAAAAACGUCAUUUUAAACACGAGGACGCCUCGGCCAGGUUUUUGCCGAGCUUCAGGUUCAGACGUUCAACGGAACGUACCAGACGUGCACAUGCAUCUUUACCUACUAAUAAAGCAUCUAUUGCUUCUAUGGUACGUCAUUAAAUUUGCCCUUAAAGUUCGUCAAAAUUACCCACCAAUGCCACCCGUAAGUGACAAAAACGAUUCCUUUUUUGGACUUCGAUUCGGCUUUUCCUUUCCGAUUCUAAAGUCUGCGGUUCCGUAUUUUAUCACAAGAACAGGCUAGCCCAACCGAUUGGGUGCGCCCCGUCCCACCCAGAAGACCCAGGUUUGAUCCUCAUCGUGGACUAUAACUCUUUUUGUUCUUCUUUUUCUAUUUUUUUGUCUCUUUUGCCUUUAUUUCGAAAAACUUUACGCACAUGUUAAUCAUGGAUUAAAGAAAUGUCAAAUUUGUAGACAAAUAAGUUCUCAUAUAUACAAAAAAAUGUACAGUCCGUAUGGACAAUAAAUAAUAUAUUUUUCUUUUAUUUCGAAAAAUAUUGAUCGUGUAUUUAAAAAACUUUAAAUGUGUAUAGGAAAAUGUUUCCGGUGUAUCAGAAAACAUAUACAAAAAUAUAUAAUGUGUAUGGAACAAAGUAGACAUAAAAAUAGAACUUUUCAAAAAUGUUAAUCGUGUAUUUGAAUAAUGUAAAACAUGUAUAUAAAAAAUAUUCAUGAUGCAUACAUAAUAUGUAAAAUGCGUAUUAAAGAAAUUAGACAUCAAAACUCAAUAAUGUUUGUGAUGUCACACGCAAAAAAAGUUUCUAAUGUAUAAAAAAUAUACAAUGUUGUUUAUACAAGCUUUACGUAAACAAAUGGCUGAGCUUUGAUUUUUCAUAUAUAUAAACUGUUUUGCUAAUUAUUUUUUUAAGAAUAUCGAUAUUGAUAUACAACCUAGAACAUUUGGUAUGCAUGUACUUACAAAUUGAUUGUUUUCGAUGAAGCUGUCUAAUAUGUUUGCAACCAAAUUAAGACUUCACUUAGAUUAGAAAUGCAAACACAUAUAUCAGCAAGAUAAAAAUAAUGUUCUUAUGCAUAUGCUAUCAUUAAUUAACAAAACAUACUUUGCCAUUUGCGAGUUUCUAAUGUAUAAAAAAUAUACAAUGUUUCAAGAAAUGUUCUAAAAUUUUAAGAACAUAACAUUAUUGGAAAACAGUUAUUUGCCAUAUGCUGCUUCUUUGCCGUGUGCUGGCUGAUGGCAAAGACCCUCUUUGCCAUCAGCUACCAGAAACCAGACGGCAAAGAGCAGGCUGAUGCCAAAGGUACUAUUUGCCACCAGCCAACUCUUUGUCGUCUGCCAGCUCACGACAAAGAGCAUGCAGGCAGACGGCAAAGAGGGUGGGCGGCCCACCCCGUAGCCCCUCUCUCCCCCCUAACGGCCUCUUUCUUUGUCGUCCGCUUUUCUCCUCUGUGCCGUCGGGAGGCGGACGGGAAAGAGGGUGCCCCCCUAACGGCCGUUAGCCCCACCCCCACGCGCCUCUCUCUCCCCCUAACGGCCACCCCGACACCCCUCUCUCUCACCCCCGACACCACCACCGCCGCCGCGCCCUCUUCCGGCCUCCCUGUGCCGCCCUACGCCCUCCUUCUCCCUAGCCGCCCUGCGCCCUCCUCCUCCCCGGCCGCCCUGCACCCUCCUCCAUCGCCACCCUGCGCCCCCUCCUCCACCCCGGCCGCCCUGCACCCUCCUCCACCGCCGCCCUACGCCCCCUCCUCCUCCCCGGCCGCCCUGCACCCUCCUCCANGCCACCGCCGCCGCCCUCCUCGCGCCCCUCACCGUGCCCCUCCUCCCCCUAUUGCCCUCCUCCCCCUGUGGCCCUCCUCCCCCUGGGGGCCCCUGCGGCAUUCAGUUAGUUUUUUCCUUCUUUUUUGAAUAGUUUUUGUUUAAUUAGUUAUAUGUUUUAGUGAGGUUUUGGCUUAGUUUUAGUUUAGUUUAGGUUCAGUUUUAGUUUAGGUUUAGUUAGGUUAGUUUCCUAUUUAGUAAAGGAGAAAAGUAGAAGAAGAAGAAGGAGANNNNNNNNNNNNNNNNNNNNNNNNNNNNNNNNNNNNNNNNNNNNNNNNNNNNNNNNNNNNNNNNNNNNNNNNNNNNNNNNNNNNNNNNNNNNNNNNNNNNNNNNNNNNNNNNNNNNNNNNNNNNNNNNNNNNNNNNNNNNNNNNNNNNNNNNNNNNNNNNNNNNNNNNNNNNNNNNNNNNNNNNNNNNNNNNNNNNNNNNNNNNNNNNNNNNNNNNNNNNNNNNNNNNNNNNNNNNNNNNNNNNNNNNNNNNNNNNNNNNNNNNNNNNNNNNNNNNNNNNNNNNNNNNNNNNNNNNNNNNNNNNNNNNNNNNNNNNNNNNNNNNNNNNNNNNNNNNNNNNNNNNNNNNNNNNNNNNNNNNNNNNNNNNNNNNNNNNNNNNNNNNNNNNNNNNNNNNNNNNNNNAGAAAGGAGAAGAAGAAGAAGGAGAAAGGAGAAGAAAAAAAUAAGAAGAAGAAGGAAAAGAAGAAGAAGGAAAAGGAAGGGAAGGAGAAGAAAGAAGAAGAAGAAGAAGAAGAAAAAUAGGAGAGGAAGAGAAGAAUAAGAGGAAAAAAUAAAAUAAGAAGAAGAAGAAGAAGAGAAGAAGAAAACAAGAAGAAGGAGAAGAAGAAUAAGAGGAAAAAAGAAAAAAGAAAAUAAUAAUAAUAAGAAGAAGAAGAAUAAGAAUAAGAAUAAGAAGAAGAAGAAGNNNNNNNNNNNNNNNNNNNNNAAGAAGAAGAAGAAGAGAAGAAGAAAAGAAGAAGGAGAAGAAGAAUAAGAGGAAAAAAGAAAAAAGAAAAUAAGAAUAAGAAGAAGAAGAAGNNNNNNAAGAAGAAGAAGAAGAGAAGAAAAGAAGAAGAAGGAGAAGAAGAAUAAGAGGAAAAAGAAAAAAGAAAAUAAUAAUAAUAAUAAGAAGAAGAAGAAUAAGAGGAAAAAGGAAAAAAGAAAAUAAGAGUUAGGUCACAUAUUUUUUGAUUAUCUUAUAAAAACAUCAUAUUUGUGUUGAUCGGGUGAAUUUCAAUGUGCAGUUGUUCGACGACCUCCACGUGCGUUGGACGAGCUCCGCCCCUACGUUUGUUGGUGAGCACAAAUGACUUCUCCUCCUACCCCCUUAAUUUGCUCUGUCCCGGUCUUCGUGCCGAUGAAACUUGCUAGCCAUAUAUAGGUUUCUUCAAUCAUGAGUAUGCGUGACCAGUAUACGUCUCUCGUUCGAAAGGGCGACAUCUAUAAAUAUGCAUGUCUUUGCAUAUUUAUAACCGCCAUCCUUUCGAAUUGUCCAACAUUAUCCAUGGACAGCCCGAGUAUGUGUAGAUUGGGUUCGUUUUCCCGUAUGCUAUGCUCUGGAUCCGAUGCGGAAUUUCGUCAGUGCCUCCCUGUUGUUCUCCGGAUGCACAUCCUCUUUGUUUAUUGUGGAGACGUGUAUCAGGAGAACAACGGGGAGGUGCUGCCGAAAUUUUGCGUUGGAUCCGGAGCAUAGCAUGGGAAAACGAACCCAAUCUACACAUACUCAGGUGGGAUUAGGACCUAUCUUUACCUAUUAGCGUGUAGGUUGCCUGGACGUAAUAAAAAUGGCGAACCUGAUUAACCGAUGAAUAUAAAUGCUAAAUUAUAUAUAAAUAUAUUUCUUCUGUCUUUAGUAGCUACGCAAGAUGAGUGAUCGUGCGUGGAUGUAUACCGGUCACCCUAGUCAGAAAGAGAUGACGAAAGAAUGGUUUGUAAAAACAAAGGAAUUUGUGAAAGCCGCAUUCGCAAAUGGCCAGGAAAGAAACUAUUGCCCCUGUCCUGGAUGCGACAACUAUAAGAAGACGACAGAGGCUGUAAUGAUUAAACACCUGCAGAGGAGGGGUUUUAAGCCUAAUUAUACGGUGUGGAUAUUUCUUGGUGAGUCUAUACAACGCACAAGAGCUGAGGUGGUCCGUCGUCGCACGGACGAGCAUGGUACCGGGAUCGAAGACAUGGUGCAAGACUUUGAUGAUGCUCGGGAUUCGGAAGAUGAGAUGGAGGAAUCUGCAAAGGCCUUUUAUGAAAUGUUGGAGUCUUCAAAACGUCCUCUCCAUGAGCACACUGAGCUCUGUCAGCUGGAUGCAAUUGCACAAGUAAUGGCUCUGAAGGCUCAGUUCAACUUGGGAAGAGAAUGCUACGACGCGAUGAUGACACUAUUUGGACGCUUCCUACCAAAGGCCAUGUCAUGCCUGCAAACCUGUACCAGUCGGACAAAAUACUUCGUGUACUUAAGAUGCCCUAUGAGAAGAUAGAUGCAUGUGAGAAAGGAUGUGUCUUAUUUAGGAAGGAGUAUGCACACUUGGACUAUUGUCCCAAUUGCGAGUCUUGCGGGUAUCUUGUGGUAGACAACGGUAUGGGUGAGAAGAGGCAGACCAAAAUCGCAGUUAGUGUUCUUCGGUAUAUGCCAAUCGUACCAAGACUUCAAUGUCUUUUCAUGGUCGAAGAGACAGCCGGACAGAUGACAUGGCACAAAUUGGGCAAAAGAACCGAACUAGAUGCGGAUGGGAAUAAGAUGAUGGUACACACAUCGGAUGGGGAAGCGUGGAAACAUUUCGAUGGAUUGCAUCAGGAUAAAGCGGCAGAUCCAAGGAAUCCUCGAGUCUGCGCCGCCACGGAUGGUUUUAAUCCCUUCGGCAUGACGACAACCCAAUACAGUUGUUGGCCUGUAUUUUUCAUUCCACUCAAUCUCCCCCCCGGGCAUAUUAUGCAAAGAAAGAACAUAUUUCUGACGUUGAUAAUUCCAGGGCCCAAUUAUCCCGGGAAGAAUAUGAAUGUGUACCUACAACCGCUUAAGGAUGAAUUGGAAGAAGCUUGGGAUAAUGGGGUGAAGACAUACGAUGCCGCUAGAAAAGAAAACUUCAAAAUGCAUGUGUGGUACAUGUACUCUAUGCAUGACUUGCCAGCGUAUGCGCUAUUCUCUGGAUGGUGUGUGCAUGGAAGGUUCCCGUGCCCCCAAUGCAAGGCAGCUCUUCGGUUUCAUUGGUUGCAGGAGGGUCGGAAGUAUUCUUGCUUUGACUUGCAUAGACAGUUCCUGGAUCCUGACCAUCAGUUCAGAAAAGACAAGAAGAACUUUACCAAAGGUAAAGUUGUCAAAAAAUUGGCACCACCUGCGUUCACAGACCAACAGAUCCUGGAUCAGCUAAACGCCCUCGAGCCUGAUCCAGAGCGUCCAGGGUAUUUCAAGGGGUAUAAUUCAAAAAACGCCUCGACUCACAAGCCAUGCUUCUGGGAUCAGCCUUACUUCAAAGACCUCCUUCUUCCACACAAUAUCGACAUGAUGCACACUGAAAAGAAUAUCGGAGAGGCUAUUUUUGGUACAUUGUUCGACAUAGAUGGGAAGACAAAGGAUAAUAUUAAGACUAGAGUCUAUCAAGAGACACUAUGUCAUAGACCGUUACAAAACAUGCGAGAAGGCAAAGGAAAGCAGAAGUGGUCGAAGCCAAAGGCUUGGUUCAAUCUUGGAAGGCCAGCUAUGAGGGAAAUUAUCUUGUGGGUCAAAAUGCACUUGAUGUUCCCUGAUGGGUAUGCAGCGAAUCUAAAGAGGGGAGCGAGUCUUGAAAAAUUAAAAAUCUUUGGUCUCAAGAGUCAUGAUUGGCACAUAUGGCUAGAGCGGGUAAUGCCGGUGAUGUUACAUGGCUUUAUUCCUGAGGAUGAAUGGCUAGUACUGGCGGAGCUGAGCUAUUUCUUCCGUGUUCUUUGUGCGAAAGAAUUGUCGCCUGGCAUGGUAGAAGACAUGGAGGAGUUUGCACCGGAGUUGUUGUGCAAGUUAGAGAAGAUCUUUCCACCGGGCUUCUUUAAUCCAAUGCAGCAUUUGAUUUACAUCUACCGACCGAGGCAAGAUUGGGUGGGCCCGUGCAAGAUCGUUGGUGCUAUGCAACUGAGAGGAUGCAGAAGACCCUUCGAGCUAAAUGUAAAAAUAAGCGUAGAAUUGAAGCAUCGAUGGCUGAGGCAUUCAUUACUGAGGAGGUGGCAAACUUUGUGACAGCACACUACGAAGCCAAAAAUCAUCAUUUGCAUAAUCCGAAGCCUCGGCACAAUGAUGCAGACCCUAAAAAAGGUGGGUCCAACCUCAGCCUAUUCAAAGGGAAGCUCGCACCAGCCGGUGCUUCUAAACCAAUAACGUAGGAUGUCGAAGAAUGGCAGAACAUUUCGUUGUAUAUCUUCAACAACCUAACAGAAGUGCGGCCAUACAUCGAGUGAGUUCUCGGCACAUUUUCCCGUAACUUCUAAUUCAUUUGAACUUCUUUUAUUCCCGGAUAUUUCAAACAGCCGUUACGUCGCGAAAUUCUUGGAUGGAGCGGUGAUCGAAAAUGAUUCCGUCGAAGAGUAUGAGCUUCUGUCGAAGACAGGAGGCGGCUAUCCCGGUUUCAUCUCUUGGUUCAAACAAACGGUAAUUAUUAAUAAUGGAUCAUUUCAUUCUUGGUCUAACUUGCGGCUAAUGCAACAAUCGUUUCGUAUUAAACUUGUAGGCUAAUUCAGAGUCUAUGGACGCCGAAUUGAGACAAGUCGCUAAUGGUUUUGACUAUUAGGUCCGUUCAUUUGAGAAAUACAACAUCAACGGGUAUCUCUUUCGUACCUUUGGCAAAGAGCUAUCUAUGCUCGACCGGAAAUCUACAAAUUAUGGUGUCUUUGCUAUCGGCAAAGGUGUUAUCGAGUAUUAUGGAAGAGUUGAAGCAAUUUAUGAACUUCAAUUCUAUGGUGAAAACCCACCGAACGUCGUAGUCUUCAAAUGUUAUUGGUUCCAGCCGAAGAAGACUAGAAGGACUCAUGAACAUAUAGGACUAGCCGAAAUCAAUCCAAACACCCAUUUAGAUGUUCCCGAUGUCUAUAUUACGGCUCAACAGGCGACCCAAGUUUUCUAUCUACCGUGGGCAUGCCAAACGGAUAAGAAUCUGGAAGGUUGGUAUGUUGUUUAUGAAGUGCCGCCACAUGUCAGACCACCUCUCCCAAAUGAACAUGAUUAUGAACCUCACAUUAACCCAGACACAUAUGAUUGAGAAUUCUUCCAAGAAACACGUCUUUCCAAGAAACAUUUCAAGAACCGUCGUGCUUCACCCAAGAACAUGGAAGUAGACAGCGACAAUGAAUCUGACUCCAGCCCUGAGCCGGAACCAGAAGACCUGGAACGUGUAGAGGUUACUGAUGCGGAUGACCUUUCAAUGAUUCAACGAUUAAAGGAAGGGCUUUCACAACUUCACGCCGUUGAACCCGACGAGCACGUCAUUCAUGAAGACAUGCGUGAUAGUGAUGAUGAUGAUGCAUUUAUUGAUGAUGAUUAUUAGUUUUUAAGAUUCACAACUUAAAUUUUAUAUAUUUUAAUCUUUAUUAUUCAUGUACAUAUUAUUAUUCAUGUCAGUUAUUCAAUUUUUUUAUGUUGUACUAAUUUCUUUUAAUAUUUAUCAUGGCAGGUCACCAGGUGUGGAAAGAUGGUGGGCGCUGGUCCAGAUUGCUCGAUGGGUUCUUCCCAGGCGCCCCGUACGAGGGGUGGUACUUCCCUUCCACCCCUAUCUCUCCGUAGAGCCUUGGCAGACAGUCUGUCGACACCACCCGUGGGUUCUUCUUCUUCGGCGGCAUUGCCCACUGGGAGAGGUGUUGGUCGGGUAGGGAAGAAGGGGAAGGGUACAGGGAGAGGUGGUGGCCGCGGAAGAUCCAGGAGGACAGUUGAGCCGUCCUCGCCACCACCACCAGCUCAUUCACCCGAGCAUAGGACUACUAUGGUCGACCCGUUUGUGGAGGAGGCUACGGGGACUCCGUUCCAGGAGCCUAUUGUUGACGGGCAUUCGUCGCAUGAGACUCCGGUCCAGGAGAAGCCUCGGGUCGAGGUGCAUUCGGCCCAGGAGCAGCCGGAGGAGACUACGGUUCCGGAGGCUUCACCCGACGUGGAGAGGCCCGGAUGGGAGUCCUGGCCGGAUCGUACCGAGUUGCCGGAUUGGACCGAAGGUCCGGGUGGCUCAGUGGGCGGGGAUGGCGGGGAUGAGCUUAUGGAUAGUGAGGGCGAUGUGCAGGUGGACGGGGCCACCGUGUACAAGCGUGGUACUACACGUCUCCCGGUCGCGUCGGCUACACGCGAGCAGAGGCCGGUGAUUAAACCUGAAGGAGAUAGGUAAGUACAUUUACUCUUUUUUUAGCUUUUGCCUUCAAGUUUGUUCAAAUAUCUAAUGCGUUGACCUUAUCAUACUGCAGGGGAUGGGUACACCCUCUUGGAGUCCGUAGGCCGAACUCCGUCCUUGGUGUGCUUUGCUGGACAAAUUUCCCGGGGUUUGUCACGUUGCCUGGUGAGGGUCAAGUUCCUACACUAGGAUUUUCCUGGGAGCACUACCAGGCUGCACAGGCCCCGCCGGAGGAGAUUAUAGAUGGUGUCUUGUGCCACACGAGGGCCGAGAUGGUGAUCAAGAGUUUUUGGGUAAAUUAUCCUUUUACAGAAUCUAAAAUUAACAAUAUAGCUAAUUAUUGUACUAAUCGGUGUUUUCAUGUUUGAUUGCAGACCUUCUAUAGGUGUGUGGAUGGAUAUGAGGAGGAGGCGGCCAGGUUUCUCGAGGCCGAGUGUAGGCGGUUACUACAGAACUUGCACCACGAGGCUCGGCCGCAGGCUAUUCGAGAUUACUAUGCCACGUGUGGUAUUAAGAAGCAGAAGAAGGAUUGCCGCGGAAAGUUUCUAAAGAAGGAGCAAUACAUGAAGGUAAUUACCUUUUCUUAAGUCCUUCUACAUAGUUUUCUUGAUUUCAUUCAUAGGCGUAGCGCUGGAAAUUCUUUCUAAUAACUUACAGGUGCCCCCGAGAUGGUGUGCGGAUAAGAUGGAUUGUUGGGAGGCGUUGGUUGAUGAGUGGUGCACAGGCAGGUGGCGAGCCGUCCAUGAGAAUGCGAAGGAUCGGCGUAGCCAAAUGGUUGGUGUGCCACACCAUCAAGACAGCGCCAACUUACUUCAGUUUGGACGAAACUGGGUAUGUGAUUUGCUUCAUGAUUCAUGCAAUUCAUUCUUGAUGCUAAUAUUUUGUUCCUCUUUUUUAGGCGCAUCACAAUAAGAUGGAGAUGCCACACUUGUACGACCUUAAUGGCAUGGCCCAUACUGCCUCAUACAAGAAGGCGAAGGCAUUCUCUGAGUCUGACCUGAAUGAUCCCAAUAACUUCACCAACAUAUCAUCCCACCAGAAGCUCGUGGCAUAGAGGGACGCGGGGAAGGCUACGAAAGGGGAUGACUUUAACCCUAGCCAGGAACCUUUGGAUCCAGAGCUGGUGAUGAUAUCUGGUGGCGGGAAGCCCUAUGGUUCGAUAGCCAUUGGAGAUGGGAUAAUAUGUUGUCCACUCACUCUCCCAGAGAUCAAGGCGCGCCAGUCGAGCAGCUGUCCUGAGAUAAUGCGUCUUCCACGGCCAGUCGAACUUGCCAUCGAGGUUAGUUGUACGGACUAAGAACACUUUCAUCCAUUUCAUUAUGUGUGUCACCAUAGAUCAUUACUGUGGUAACGAGGAAUGGUGUUUCAGGCUGCUCUUGAGAAAGAGAGAUUGGCAAACCAGGCUGCUCUUGAGAAAGAGAGAUUGGCAAGCCAGGCUGCUCUUGAGGCUGCUCUUGAGAAAGAGAGAUUGGCAAGUCAAGCUGCUCUUGAUGAGAGGGACCAGACCACGACACGAUUGAUUGAGGAGGAGAGGUCCCAGAAUGAGGCGGGUCAACGGGCCCUGUACGAGCUUUUUGUGGUAAGUUUUUUUUCACAUUAGCCAAAUCAUGUGUGUAAUGUCUGUUUCAUUACUAACUAAUACGACCCACUCUUCAGGGUCUGUGCGAGAAGAGCGGUCAAGUCCCUCCGCCGAUGCCCAUCUUCUCUUCGAUUGGCACGGUGAGUUUCAUUAUAAACUAGUAUUAAUAAUUGAGUGUCAUCAUGCUAACUGAGACAUUGCCAAAUAUCUAUUUUGCAGAAUAACUCCCGAGCGGCAUCGCACGACCCUUCUCCAGGUGUUUCUCCUCCUUGAUGACCAAUACGGUAAGUUUCUCUUCUCCUCUUUCAUAUUCUCAUUGCCUUAAUUUCCCCAACAAUAACAUAGUUAGCCCAUUUAGCUCCANNNNNNNNNNNNNNNNNNNNNNNNNNNNNNNNNNNNNNNNNNNNNNNNNNNNNNNNNNNNNNNNNNNNNNNNNNNNNNNNNNNNNNNNNNNNNNNNNNNNNNNNNNNNNNNNNNNNNNNNNNNNNNNNNNNNNNNNNNNNNNNNNNNNNNNNNNNNNNNNNNNNNNNNNNNNNNNNNNNNNNNNNNNNNNNNNNNNNNNNNNNNNNNNNNNNNNNNNNNNNNNNNNNNNNNNNNNNNNNNNNNNNNNNNNNNNNNNNNNNNNNNNNNNNNNNNNNNNNNNNNNNNNNNNNNNNNNNNNNNNNNNNNNNNNNNNNNNNNNNNNNNNNNNNNNNNNNNNNNNNNNNNNNNNNNNNNNNNNNNNNNNNNNNNNNNNNNNNNNNNNNNNNNNNNNNNCCAAAAAGACAUAAUUAGUCCAUUUAGCUCCAAAAUGCCAUAAUAACCUCAAAAUGGCAUAAGAACCUUGGUUAGCUCAUUAAUAUUAUAUACUUAGCUUGUUUUCCUCUAAAAUGAGAUAAUUAGCCCAUUUAGCUCCAAAAAGACAUACUUAGCUAAUUUAGCUCCAAGAAGAGGAGAAGAGGAGAAGAAAUAGGAAAAAUGAAAUGAAAGAAGAAGAAGAAGAAGAGAAGGAGGAGGAGGAGGAGGAGAAGGCCAAGGACCUUCUAGUCCUUCUCCUCCUUCUCCNNNNNNNNNNNNNNNNNNNNNNNNNNNNNNNNNNNNNNNNNNNNNNNNNNNNNNNNNNNNNNNNNNNNNNNNNNNNNNNNNNNNNNNNNNNNNNNNNNNNNNNNNNNNNNNNNNNNNNNNNNNNNNNNNNNNNNNNNNNNNNNNNNNNNNNNNNNNNNNNNNNNNNNNNNNNNNNNNNNNNNNNNNNNNNNNNNNNNNNNNNNNNNNNNNNNNNNNNNNNNNNNNNNNNNNNNNNNNNNNNNNNNNNNNNNNNNNNNNNNNNNNNNNNNNNNNNNNNNNNNNNNNNNNNNNNNNNNNNNNNNNNNNNNNNNNNNNNNNNNNNNNNNNNNNNNNNNNNNNNNNNNNNNNNNNNNNNNNNNNNNNNNNNNNNNNNNNNNNNNNNCUCCUCCUCCUCUUUCUUAUCCUCUUUCAUAUUAUCCUUGCUUUAAUUUCCCCAAAAAGACAUAAUUAGCCCAUUUACCUCCAAAAUGCCAUAAUAACCUCAAAAUGGCAUAAGAACCUUGGUUAGCUCAUGAAUAGUAUAUACUUAGCUUGUUUNNNNNNNNNNNNNNNNNNNNNNNNNNNNNNNNNNNNNNNNNNNNNNNNNNNNNNNNNNNNNNNNNNNNNNNNNNNNNNNNNNNNNNNNNNNNNNNNNNNNUCUCCUCCUUCUCCUCCUGCUUCCUGAUUUCUUCUUCUUCUUGUCGGUGAAUACUCACAACAUAUGCCAUCGGUAGGCUAAAGUCGGUGAGAACCGAAGGGACAAAGGUGGGCGCUGGGAACGAGGUUGGUACACGCAUGGAACGCACGAUGUACCCAGGUUCAGGGCUCUCCAUGGAGAUAAUACCCCUAAUUCUGCUUUAGUGUUUGAUGUAUGGGAACAGAGUACAAUGUUGCUCCUAGAGCUGUGUUGGCAGGAGGAAGAGGGGAGCAGCCGGCUCGUCUCUACCUCGCUCUCUGUUGGUUGGUGAGUGUGUAGUGUUGAAUGGCUGGCAAGUGAUCGGUCCCCCUGCAUGGGGGGGGGGGGGGCCGGGGGGUUUUAUAGAUGAACCCGCCGGCCUACAAUAUGGAUAAAAGGUACAAGUGUGGGACCCGGCUGGCUGCUUCGCCGGCUGGCCAGGGGCCCAAAAGGGUCUUGUCUUGUCGAUGAGGGGCCCGCCGGCUGCAUGGUCUCGUUUACCUAUGGGACCCGCCGACUGGCCAAUGGGGAUCCCGCGUAAGGUUGACGCUAAGCACGCGUUGUACGUCAAGCCUCGCCCCGCGAGAUUCUUCAUGGGCAGGCAGUAUGACCGCGUCCACUGUUCCCCAUGCCAAGUGCAGUAAUGGAGUGGGAGUGUGACGGUCCGACACCAAGCUAGGUGAUGGAUGAGAGCCGGGGUAGGUCAGCGGCGUGGCUGCCGACGCUCGUACCUACCGGGCGCCCCGAUGCAGUACCUUUGCUGACGAGUAGCUACCUUUAAUCGUGAGGUCCUUUCCUGACCUACGAUCUGAUGUGACUGGGGAUCCUCGGCCGGCUAGCCUGCUUGGUUAGCCGGCUCGCGGGUGGCCGCCUCCUCCCUAGUCCGGCUGGCGGGACCAGGCCGGCUCUGAAGGGGAGGCCGCCUGCGCUCUAGCCGACAGGGGAUGCCUGGCCGGCCAGAAAGGUGGCCGCAUCGUCUUCCAGCCGACAGGCGAUGCCCAGCCGGUCAGAAGACUUGGGCCUUGGGAAUCUCCCUAUUUUCAUGUCCAUUGGGCCGGAAAUGAAGGAGCGGGCUUGAUGAGCCUACCCCGGGGUUAUCCCCCCGACAGUAGUCCCCGAAGCUGGCGAGGUCUGCCGCGUGCGGGCGGCCUCACCGGCUUGUUGUCUUGAUAUUUUGGUUGUUGUUUGCGGUGAAGGACGCCGACUUUGGAGCCGGGCAGCUUCGAAGCGACGCUUCGGUCCAGUCAUAACUGGCCCGGGGUGCGCCACGUGCCAGGCCCCGCCUGCCGUAAUGAUGGCGAUUACUGCUUGACGGGACCGGGCCUGGGCCCUGGGUCCCUCCACGACGCCCCUCGGCCUCCGCGCGGGAUAUCUUCUGCGGAUUUACUCCGUGACGGUUGGGCUUAGGGGAGCGUUACCGCCCGUAAUACGCGGAAUUAAUGGGGCCCGGCGCACACUGGAUCCCCUCCCCACGACGCUUCGUGGGGUUUAAAUGGGACGCGAGGGUUUCGAGGAGGCCAUUCGCCCCCUCUUCUCGCCCUGCUCUGUGCCUUCUUCCUCCUUGCGUCCUAAGAAGAAGAGCUCGUGCCCUUCGUCUUCUUCUUCUUCACUGCCGAGACCUCCUCCGCCCGCUUCGAGCUCUCGCCACCCGUAGCCAUGGCUGGGGGAUCUUCUUUGAAGAGGUCGUCGGCGCAGCAGGCGUCCUCGCAUGGGGCCUGGCUGGGCAGCGAUGUCAACGCGGAGCUCAUCGACGCGCUCCGUCAUCAUCAGCUGCUGCCCCCGGCCUCCCAAGUGUCGGUGCGCCUCCCUGGAUCCGAGGCCUCUCCUGCACCUGUCGCGGGAUAGGUGGUGGUCUUCGCCGAGCAUUUCUACCGGGGUUUCGGGCUCCCGACUAGCUCUUUCUUCGCCGAGUGGCUCCAGUUCUUCGGCCUGCAGCCGCAUCAUCUGGCGCCGAACGCCAUACUACAGUUGGCCGCCUUCGUGGUCCUGUGCGAGGGCUUCGUGGGGAUCGAGCCUCGCGUCGAUCUGUGGUGCAGCUUGUUCUUCUUCAAGCAGCAAUCCAUCGCCAUGGAGAAAUCCGAGGUGGAGAAGCUCAAGGGGCCGCGCCCCAUGACGUCGUGCGGGGCCGCGUUGGUGCAUCACCGCCCGAAGUCCGGCUUCCCCCAGAUGCCUUUGCAAGACUCCAUCAAGCAUUGGCAGAAGGGGUUCUUCUAUGUGAGGAGCACCGACCCGGCCCAGGACGCCCUCAACAUGCCCCCGUUCGCCAUCGCCCCUCCGACGCGGCAGAAUUGGGACGUGAAGACCCCCAAGCCGCAUCCUGAGGUGGCGCCCAUUCGCGCCCACCUCGAUAUCUUGAGGGAGAGCGGCCUCCUCGGCCGCGACCUUCUCGCCGCCAUGGUGGUCCGCCGGAUUCUGCCUCUGCAGAGGCGGACGCAUCUGGUCUGCCAGAUGAGCGACCGGCUUGAUCUGUGCCGGCUGUCCAUCAAGAGGCUCACCUCGGGCGCUGUGGCGCGGAGGGUGAACCUGAUCUCCACCGCCCGUAUGGAUGAGGGCGGGGAAUGGACGUGGGGGAUGGCCCCGUUCAAUCGGGCUCAUCCGCCUCCCAAGGUAGCCUUUCUCCCUUCUUUUCUAUCGUUUUGUUUUGAAGCCGAUGGCGUUUGCUGAGCCAGGUUGAAUUCCUUUUUUGUAGAUGUUCCAGACCCUGCAGGGGUCCCUCCCUCAGCCUGCUCCCGACGUGGAGGCGUCCGGCGCCUCCGAGAUGGAGGAUGAGGACGCGAUGGAGCCCCGCUCGGACUCCUCCGCCGGCACGGGAGAUCCCCUGGAGUCAGAAGGGACCGAGCCGUCUGGUGAGUACCCGCGGCACGCCCUAGCAGACUGGACGGACGAUGAUGAGGAAGCCUCAUUCUGCUCUGAUGCAGCCUUUGAAGGAGACUCCGACGAGGUGGAGGAGGUCACCGGCCCAUUACUGUUGCGCGGUCGGCGUCAAGGCGGCGGAGCGACCGCUGCUGUUGAGGCAGCUGGGAGGAAGGGCAAGGGUGCCACAGCUUCCCGGCCGGCCUCUAAGCGACCGGCGCGGGUCCUUCAGCCGGGCAGCGGGCAGACGGCGCCAAAAGGCGCCGUGGCGGUGGCCGAAAGCAGGUCCCGGUAAUUGUCGGGUAUGGUUUCCUCCUUUUCUCUCUUCCGUAUUUUGAGAUGAACUUUGUUCCUAAGAAGCUUGGCUCGACUGGGAGGCGGAGGAUGCGGAUGAAGACACCGCCUCCGCGGCCGAGCGGGCCGGCUGGGCAGCGGAUGAUGCUGCCGAUAGGGAGCUAGAGAUAGAGUCCAAGCGCCGGUGGGACACGGCUGCGGGGAAGGUCGUCGUGGAUCAGCCUUGCCCCAGCCGGGUCGAGAGGUUGGCGAAGAAGCGUGCGAAGGCUAGACAGGACCCCUCCGCACAUACCCGUGUGGAGGAGCCAGCUAGCGAGGCCGCCUCCAGGCCAACCCCGAGGACCGAAGGGACCCAGCCGUCUGAGUCGGCAGCCCCGGAGCGGGUGGACCUGGAGACGAUCCCGGUUUCUCCCCGGGUCGAAGCAGCUCCUGACGCGCCGGUGCUGGAUCUGGCCGCGUCGGACGCGGCCCCUGACGCCCCAGGGGUGACCAUGGAUGCGCCGGACGUGGCUCAUCUGCCUUCUGUGGAGGAAGUAGCGCCGGUUGGGGCGGCGCCCGAGCCGGCCAUUGAGCCUACACCAGGAGCCGGCGCCAUCGUCGUCCCCCAGCAGGGCCCUGUCGCGCCAAGGGCAGGGGGGCGGUCUGGGAGCCAGCCCAUGAAGUUAUGGCGGGCGGCGAACGCGGCCCGCCUGCGAAUGCUCGCCGGCACCGUUCUUUCCGGCGUGCCGGAGCUGGUGACGUUGUUUGACAGCGGCCGGUCGAAGGUGGAGCAGGCUGCCCGCGUGGUAUGCGGCAACAUGGAGCGCCUGGAAGCCCGUACCCAGGUAGGUCUUGCCUGUUUUGGUUUUUCUUUGCUUUUUUAUCUUCUCUUGACAUGAGUGGGGGCACGGCAGCGCACCCACUGGGUGUAGCCCCCGAGAAUCGGGCGGGUUGAUUGCCAACCGGUCCGAAUCUCUUGGAGGCCUUUUUCUUCUGCAUAUUUUUCUUCAGUGGGGGCGCGCAAGCGCACCCACUGGGUGUAGCCCCCGAGAAUCGGGUUGGUUAUGCUUUUAACCAGGUCGAAUCUUAAUCUUGUUCCAUUUCUCUCCCCUUUGGCAGGCGCUAUACGAUGCUCAGGUACAGGCGUACAACGAGCUUCAGGACGAGCACUUGGGGGCUGAUGGCCGGAUCGCCGGGCUUGAAGUCCGGCUGGGCGAGGCUGCCGCGGAGCGUGAUGCCCUUCACGAAACCGGCGGCCGGCUUCAAGAGCAGCUGGACCUUCUUCAGGCGGAGAAGAAGGAGCUCGAGGCGGCCGGCCGGGUCGAGCUGGAGCGGCUGCGGGCCAUGCUGCAGGAGAAGGAGGCCUCCUGCUUUGCUGACACGGACCGCCUCGCGUCGCUCCAUCUUGAGGAGGCGAACCUCAAGGACGCCGCCUUGAGGGCGAAGGAUGACGCCCUUACGCAGAAGCAAGCCCAGCUGGGUAAGGCGCUGGAGUCCGCCGCGACCCUCCAGGAGGAAGUCGCCCGCCUCACUCAUGCGAGUGAGGUGCGGGAGCGCGAGGUCCUCGAGGUCUUUCAUGAGACCGACGGCGCCUUCCAGCGUAGGUUUCCUUUCCUUGUUUUGCGUUUGGUUUUUUGGCCGUCUCCUCCUCUCGCUGUGUUCUUACGUCCCGGCUAUCUUUACCCCAGACCUCUUCUCCGAGACCCAGGUCGCAGCCGACACCGCCGUUGAGGUGUGCCGCGACGAGCGCCGCGCGGCUGGGCAGGAGGUAGAUACUACCUCCAGCUGGAGCGCCGAGGAGAUCGGCGUGGGCCUUCGGGCCCGCCUGCACGUACUGAGCGAGUCUGUGACUCAGCUCCAGGUUGCAGGUUCGUCGAUGGUGGCGGCCCUGUGGCCGGAGGGCGUGGAGCCGACGACCAUGAGUCGGCUUGCCCGUUGGCUCGCAGCGGGUGGAGAGCGCCUGGAUGCCUGGCGAGCCUCCUUCGUGCAGUCUGGGGCUUAUAUGGCCCUGCGCUUGGCCAAGUAUUGGUAUCGCAACCUGAACUUGGGCAAGCUGGCUGCCCAGCGCGACGGCUCGGAGGCGGAGCUGCAAGGCAUGGAGGAGGAGCUCCGGGUGAAAGCGAGUGCCGUCGCCGAGUACGCCGCCUGGGAUGACUUCAUCUUGGAGCGGGGUGAGAACGGCGGCGUGAUCGCCGAGGAUCUGCACGACCUUCAGCCUUACGACGUCGAUGGCAGCGCCGAAGAGGCGGCCUGGGCUGCGGAAUCUGCAGCCGCCUCCAACGGUGGGGCGUAUGUCGACUCCGGGAUCAGCGGAGCCGGGGGCCGCAACGGGGGAGACGACGCAUCCACCUCGGGAGGAGCCGGAGGCAGCGAUGCUUCCACAUCAGGAGCGGCAGCCGAGACGACCCAUGAGGCCGUUGUCCCGUAACUGGCGUCCUUUUGUGUUUUUUGUUCUACCCCCGGAGGGAUGUAACGAACGUGGGCCGUGGGCCAAUGGUUUUUAUGAAUGUAUAUAUUCAGCAUUAUAUUCGUCACCAAGCGUGUUGUCUUAUGAUCCCGUCUUUUGAUUCCUGGUUGACUUCUCUUAUCCGAAGCCAUCAAGACGUAAAGAACAAGACAUAAGCCAAUCAGAGGCCGGCUAGAAUGAACCAACUCGAGCCGGUCGUCACUAGUAUAGCCGGACUGUGCAUGUAUUCGACCUGACCCGACGUCACACCGCGAACCGAGCGACCGGAGCCUGCCUGCAGGUUCAAGCGAUGGACCGGGAUUCAGCUGGUACACUAUGUGCCUGACUACAAGGAUUGACCGUCCGAGCGGCUGGCGAGCCCCCGAGCUUGUUUGAAGCUAGCAAGGGGCCAUGCGGCGUAGCCUCCGGGUUUAAGCAAGCCAGCAAGAGGUGGUACGCGGUGUAGCCCGUACACUGAGUGAAAACUCUUUUAGCAAGAGAAAGCAUGGGGCCUCCUUUUUUCUGCGUAGCCUCCGAGCUUAAGCAAGCCAGCAAGAGGUGGUACGCGGUGUAGCCCGUACACUCAGUGAAAACUCUUUUAGCAAGAGAAAGCAUGGAGCCUGCUUUUUUCGCCAUAUUAGUUGUUCCCGGCAGUCAGAGGCCGUCUUGAGCCUUGAAUGGGAUCAUAUAUACGAUCGAGCCGGCCCGAGCCGGUCGUCCCAAGUAUAGCCGGACUGUGCAUGUAUUCGACCUGACCCGGCGUCACAUCGCGAACCGAGCGACCGGAGCCAGCCCGCAGGUUCAAGCGAUGGACCGGGAUUCAGCCGGUACACCAUGUGCCCGACUACAAGGAUUUGACCGUCCGAGCGGCUGGCGAGCCCCCGGGCUUGUUUAAAGCUAGCAAGGGGCUGCGCUGCGUAGCCUCCGAGCUUAAGCAAGCCGGCAAGAGGUGGUACGCUGUGUAGCCCGUACACAUGAGUGAGAACUCUUGAUAGAAAGAAACAUGGAGCAUGUCCUUUUUAUUGCCUUCUUUGUUUCUCGAAGUGGGAGGAAGAUACAUGUGUAUGCUCUUUCCUUCGCUUGUCUUCCGCCUUCUAGCGGUAGAACGGGCGAAGCAACGCCGCGUUCCAUGGGUGCUUUGUUUCCUGGCCGGAGUCGUCCCUCUUGCGCUUCCUUGGCUUCUGGGCGUCAAUCAGGUAGUAAGCGUUGUUGUGUAACGCCUUACUGAUGAUGAAGGGUCCCUCCCAGGGGGGUGAGAGCUUGUGCUGGCCGGCAGUGCGCUGGAUUCUUCUGAGGACCAAGUCUCCCUCCCUGAAAGAGAGGGGCUUGAUCCUUUUGUUGUGGUAGUAUCUCAGCUUCUGUUGGUAGAUGGCCGUCCGGCUCAAAGCCAAGUCCCUUGCUUCCUCGAGGAGAUCCACACUGUCUUCUCUAGCCUCCUUUGCCUCCAUUUCUAUGUAUAGGGUGACCCGAGGCGAGUCGAAUUCGACAUCCGUGGGAAUGAUGGCCUCAGACCCGUAUACCAGAAAGAAUGGAGUGAAGCCGGUCGACCGGUUGGGCGUGGUGCGGAGGCUCCAUAGUACAGCCGACAGUUCUUCGAUCCAGCAGCCGGCUGACCUGACCAGUGGUGCCACCAGGCUUGGCUUGAUGCCGGCUAGGAUCAGGCCGUUCGCCCUCUCUGCUUGGCCGUUUGACUGGGGGUGUGCCACUGAGGCCAGGUCAAGCCGGAUGCCUACCUUGGAACAGUAGAGCGCCAAGGCGCCCUUGGCGAAGUUGGUGCCGUUGUCGGUGAUGAUGUUGUGGGGAACGCCAUAUCGGACAGAGAUGUCUGUGAUAAACCUGACAGUCGUGGGGCCGUCAAGAUUUUUGAUAGGCCUGGCUUCGAUCCACUUGGUGAACUUGUCGACGACUACCAUAAGAUGCGUCAUUCCUCCACGAGCCGUCUUGAUGGGCCCAACCAUGUCCAGUCCCCAGACAGCGAAUGGCCCUGACAAGGGAAUGGUUUUCAGCGCUGAAGGCGGCAUAUGGCUUUGUGCACUAAAGCGUUGGCAGCCUUCACAUUUGUCCACCAGAUCCACAGCCUCCUCGAGGGCCGUGGGCCAGUAGAAUCCAUGGCGGAAUGCUUUGUCCACCAAGGUUCUGGAGGCGGCAUGAUGCCCGCACUCCCCCUGGUGGAUGUCUCUGAGGAUCUGCUGCCCUUUUUCUGAUUCGACGCAGCGUUGGAACACGCCGGUCAUGCUACGUCGCACCAGCUCGUGAUUGAUGAUGGCGUAGGCAGCGGACCUGCGCUGGGUUUGUCUCGCCUCCGCCUCGUUCUAAGGAAGUUCGCCGCGAAGAAGGAAGGCCAGAAUGGCCUGAGCCCAUGAUGGAGCCGACACAAGGGUCGCCUCCGCUUCGUCUUGACUGUUGGGGCUUCUGCAGCCCCCGAGCCUGAUGGUGUCUCUGGUGCUAUUGCUGCAGCCGGCUCAUCGUCUAUCUCCAUGACGUCCACCCACUGGGAGGGUUCGAGCCUGGGCAGAGCCGGGGUUGUCGUUGUUGGAGUCGGGUGGACCAAUGGAGCCAGAUUAGGAUCCGAAGCCGGCAUAGUUGGUGGAGCCGACGGCGCUUGCACUGCAGACUCAGUCGGUGCCGUAUUUGGAGCCGGUGUCGUUAGUGCAGCCGGCGUGGUGUCCGCAGCCGGCAUAACUGGCGGAGCCAGCGGCGCUUGUAUCGUGGAUUCGGCCGGUACGAAGAUUGAUGCCGACUCCGGAGACGGCUUGAUAGACGGCUUGUGGAGUUGCUCGAGGGAGACGUCGGCUGGGAUGGCCUGCCUUGUGGAGCCGAUUUUGCCAGCGUAUCUGCCGCCUCAUUUUCCGCCCUAGGAACAUGGUGGAACUCACAACCCUCGAAGGGGCCGCUGAGCUGUUGGAUGAGGAAGCGGUAGCUUGCCAUGUUGGCGUCCCUGGCAUCCCAUUCGCCAGAGACCUGCUGCACCACCAGAUCCGAAUCGCUGAAGCAUAUGAGCCGCCGGAUGCCAAUCUCCUUGGCAAGCCGGAGGCCGUGGGCCAGUGCUUCGUAUUCGGCGACGUUGUUGGAGGCGGCGAAGUGGAUCUAGAGAGCGUACUUGAGUUGGUCCCCUUUCGGAGACGUCAAGAUGAUGCCGGAUCCCAGUCCCGUGCGCAUCUUCGAGCCGUCGAAGUGCAUCCGCCAAUGCGUGGAGUCUGGAGGCGGUGGCUCGAACUGGGUCUCGGCCCAGUCGGCUAAGAAGUCGGCCACCACCUGUGAUUUGAUGGUGGUGCGAGGUUCGUACCGAAUGUCGUGGUCCGCCAUGGCGAUGGACCACUUGGCAAUUCUGCCCGUGGCAUCACGGUUGUCCAUGAUCUCUGAUAGCGGAGCAGUGCUCACCACAGUGAUGGCAUGCUCUUGGAAGUAUUGUUUUAAUUUCUUAGCACCAAGGUAAACACCAUAACACAUUUUAUGAUAAUGAGGGUAGUUCUGCUUAAAGGCGGACAAGACCUCACUAAGGUAGUAGACAGGGCGCUGCCCUCCUCUUUGCACUGAACUACCAACACUACGCUAACCACUCGAGUGGUCGCCGCGAUGUAUAUGAGUAUGGGUUCCCUUUCAGAUGGGGCUGCUAAGAUUGGCAGGCUCGAGAUUACCCGCUUGAGGUCGCGGAAGGCUUCGUCCACCUGCUCGUUCCACUCAAACUUCGUCGUCUUCUUCAUGAGCUGGUAGAGUGGAAGAGCCUUCUCGCCAAGCCGGUUGAUGAACCGGCUGAGAGAUGCCAAGCAGCCGGCGAACUUCUCGACGUCGAGGAUCCGAGCCGGCCGCACCAUCCGCUCGAUGGUGCUGAUCUUCUCAGGGUUCGCUUCGAUGCUGCGGGCGGAUACGAAGAACCCCAAGAGUUUGCCGCCUGGGACCCCGAAGACACACUUCUCCGGAUUGAGCCGGAUCUUGUAUUCGCGCAGAUUGGCGAAUGUCUCUCGCAGGUCGUCGAGGAGGCUGAAGUGCUGCUUCGUCUUGACGAUGAUGUCAUCCACAUAGACGUGGAUGUUUCUGCCAAUCUAUGGUAGUAGGCACUGCUGCAUGCAGCGUUGGAAUGUCGCACCUGCGUUUUUCAGACCGAACGUCAUAGGGGUGUAGCCGUAGGCCCCGAAAGGCGUGAUGAAGGAGGUCUUCAAGCGAUCAGCUGGCUCCAGCUUGAUUUGAUGGUAGCCUGAAUAAGCAUCCAGAAAUGACAGCAGUUCGCAGCCUGCAGUGGAGUCGAUCACUUGAUCUAUCCUAGGCAACGCGAAGGGGUAUUUCGGACAGGCCUUAUUCAGGCUAGUGUAUUCGAUGCACAUUCUCCAUGUGUUGUUCUUCUUCAGCAUCAGGACUGGGUUGGCCAGCCAGUCCGGGUGGAAAACCUCCAUGAUGAAGCCGGCUGCAAGGAGUCGGGUGAUCUCUUCUCCGAUUGUGCAUCGCUUCCCCUCGGCGAAGCGGCGCAAAGGUUGUUUCACCGGCUUUGCAUCCGCUCGCACGUGAAGUUUGUGCUCGGCGUACUUCCUCGGGACACCCGACAUGUCCUUGGGGACCAUGCAAAGAUGUCCCGAUUCUCAUGGAGGAAGUCAACGAGCUUGCCUUCCUAUUUGGGGCUAAGGCCAGCCCCGAUGGUGAUGCACUGCUUCGGGUUGGCAGGGUCGAGUUGGACCUGCUUGGUCUCUUUAGCAGGCUUGAAAGAGCCCUCGCCGGCCGAUUGGGACGGAGGAGAAGAAAUCGCCGGUUGCUCGGUAGCCUGGGCCAUGAUACGGUCGAUCUACCGCUUCUCCUCGGCAAUCACCAAGGCGUCGGCGAGGCGGCUGCUAUCUUGGGCGCACUCGAGCGACUUCUUGUAGUCGCCAACAACAGUGAUGAUGCCCUUGGGACCCGACAUUUUCAUCUUCAGGUAGGCGUAAUGCGGAAUAGCCAUGAACUUGGCCAGAGCCGGUCUCCCCAGCAGCGCGUGAUACAGGCUACUGAGGUCCACCACCUCGAACCAUAUGGACUCACGGCGGAAGUGGGCCUUGUCGCCGAAGAGGACGUCUAGCUGGAUCUUGCCGAUGGGCGACCACGACUGCCCAGGCACGAUGCCGUGGAAGACAGUGCUGGUUGGCAGGACGUCCGUCUCCUUGAGCCCGAGCUUUCGGAGAGUGUCGAGGUAGAGGAUGUUGAUGCUGUUGCCGCCAUCGACCAGCACCUGGGAGAAUCGACAAGUGAGCCUCUUGGAGGCGAAGGUGGGGUCGAGGACGAGUGUGUAUGACCACAGGUUGGGCAUCACCGCAGGGUGGUCCACCCGGCUCCAUGUAAUUGGUUUGUCGGACCAAUGCAUGUACUGGGGAACCGGGGGGACAGUGGCAUUUACCUUGAGCCGCCUUUGGCGCAGGCUGUGCUUGUCGUCGCCUUCACUAGUGAAGACGACGAAUGCUCCGUCUUGAUGCGGGUAGUCGUCAGGGUGUGGGCCGUCGUCGCGAGGCGGCGGCGGCGGAAGCGGAGCGUGAUGGGGAGCCGGUGCACGGGGCGCCACCUGCGCACCCGGGGGAGCCGGCAUUCCCUCCCCUUGCGACAGCCAGCAUGCGAUGCUGCACUGUCGAAAGGUAUGGGUAGACGGCGCCGCCCCCGAAUGUAUCUUGCAGGGGGCGUCGAGCAGCUGCUCGAGAGUCUGCUUGGGCAGCGAGUUGGGGUUGCCCUGAUUGCGACGCUUUCGUGGAGGGCCGGCUUGGGAAGCCGACGCCUCGCCCUCCAUGUUGGCCACUAGCUUGUUGUUGGCCAUCUGAUCCGCCUUGCGCUUGUAGUUGUUCUUGCCGCCUCGGUUGUCCCCAGCCGACUUGGGAGUAGCCGGCGCAGGCACAACCUUGUCCGAGGCGGUCACCUUGAUGCGCAUCGCGGAGUCGGCCGUGGCGUACUUGUCCUCCUUGGCCAUGAGCACCGCCAAGGAGGUGGGCUCGGUGCACAUGAGCUUGUGCUUGAGGAGGGUGCCGUCUCGGCAUCCAUCGAUGAAGUAUUGUAUGGCUUGUACCUCAUGCACCCCCUCACAGGAGUUGCAGAGCUCAGUCCAUCGGGUGACGUAGUCGCGGAGGGGUUCGUCGGCCUUCUGGACGCACAUGGCCAGCUCGCGAGGCCGACCAGGGUGCUUGUAAGUGCCGGUGAAGUUGCGGACGAACGCCUCCUCGAAGUCCACCCAGGAGUUGACGCUGCCGGCCGGGAGGCUGUUAAGCCACGUCCGGGCCGAGCCGGCCAUCAUGAGUGGCACGUAGUGAACCACUACGCGCUUGUUGCCCCUGGCAAUGCCUACGGCCGUGGUGUAGUCGAUCAGCCAGUCUUCCGGCUUGGCCGUGCCGUUGUAUUUCGGCGUAUCCCGAGACAGGGUGAAGCCUCGGGGGAACGGCUCCCCUCGGAUCCGGGGGCCGAAGCAAGCCGGACCGACGGGUCCGUCUUCCUCUAGGAGGGCCGAAUGGGCCAGGGCGAUGAUACGCCGGCGGGCGUCCCGCUCGUCCUGGGAGGCGGGGGCGCCAGCCUUGGUGGCGAGAGGGGAGGCUCCUCGGGAACCGGAUGCGUGAGUUCUUCACGGGGGAAGAUCCCCGUACUCCGAGUCGCCCUCGUCGCCUCCACGACAUAGGCCCGAAGUGUGCUCGCUCUGGUGUUGCGAGCGCCGGCCUUGGCUUCCCUCGCCCCUCCAGCCGGAAGGGCGAUGCGAGGAAGAUCCUUCGGCGUGGUGUUCUCCGCUAGGGUCGCGGCGAGCCCCCGAGUUCGGCCCCGGGGACUCUGAAUGAGCCUGGCCGUGGUCGAACCGAGCGUGCUACUGGUUAGCAGCGUCAAGGAGAUCCUUGAUGCGCUUCUCCUGGAAGGCGCGCUCCUCGCCUUCCAGGCUGGCCAUCUCCUCCAUGGCCGCCUGCGCCGCUCGCAUGUUGGCCGCAGGAGUCUCGUAGGUGGGCAGGUCCCCGCCUAGGACCUCGGCGACGAACCGUCCGCGGCUGCGGACCGAUCCAAGCCGGCUGGGGGCCUCGGAAAUCGGAGUAAGACCAUAUGCGGAGUUAUACUCACGAUGUGUAGCCUCCAACUGACGUUUUGCCGAGGCCACGGCGAUGCCCUCCUCCAAGAUACGCUUGGGAGCCUCCUCCAGUGAGGCCCGAGCGUCUGCAGGGUCAGCAGAAGCGGCGACCGGUGUCUUCAGGCCGGCGAUGGCGUCCCGAAGAGUGUUGGCGGCGGCCGCAGCGGGCUCGCCAGCGCUUGCGGAGGCCUUGCCGGGAGCCGUGCUCGUGCCGGCGCCGAUAACCAUCACCUCCAUGGCGUUGGAGAUGGCAGCGACGUGGUAUGGGGUGAAGAACCCCACCGAUGGCGGAGGGCCGUCGAAGAUGAGGACGUUACUGGGGUAAACAUCAUGGGUAGGCGUCUCAGCGAUAGAGAGCCUGCUGAAACUGGCGCAGAGCGCCUCAACAUCGUAAUCCUCGCCGAAGUAGCGUGGGCCGUUGUUGAGGCGAAGGUCGCUGAAGAGAACGAUGAGGUUCUCCAUAGCUGCGACGACGACGCUAGGAAGCGCCUCGUCAUCAGAAUCUUCGUUCGAAUCCGCAUGGCGGACGGGGACGUCGAUCAUCAUGGGCGUCGCCUCAUCGAAAGCGAGCUCCACGGGCAUGCAGACUGAUCCGGACGCGAUGCAUCCGGUGGUGUAGGUGCGGGGCCCCGCCCAGCGCGUGAAGCCAGCCUAUGCUGCGAUCGGCCCCAUGGUGGGCGCCAAAUGUCGGUGAAUACUCACAACAUAUGCCAUAGGUAGGCUAAAGUCGGUGAGAACCGAAGGGACAAAAGUGGGCGCUGGGAACAAGGUUGGUACACGCAUGGAACGCACGAUGUACCCAGGUUCAGGGCUCUCCGUGGAGAUAAUACCCCUAAUCCUGCUUGUGUGUUUGAUGUAUGGGAACAUAGUACAAUGUUGCUCCUGGAGCUGUGUUGGGAGGAGGAAGAGGGCAGCAGCCGGCUCGUCUCUACCUCGCUCUCUGUUGGUUGGUGAGUGUGUAGUGUUGAAUGAAUGGCAAGUGAUCGGUCCCCCUGCAUGGGGGGCGGCCGGGGGGUUUUAUGGACGAACCCUCCGGCCUACAAUAUGGAUAAAAGGUACAAGUGUGGGACCCGGCUGGCUGCUUCGCCAGCUGGCCAGGGGCCCACAAGGGUCUUGUCUUGUCGAUGAGGGGCCCGCCGGCUGCAUGGUCUCGUUUACCUAUGGGACCCGCCGGCUCGCCAAUGGGGCUCCCGCGUAAGGUUGACGCUAAGCACGCGUUGUACGUCAAGCGUCGCUCCACGAGAUUCUUCAUGGGCAGGCAGUUCGACCGCCUCCACUGUUCCCCACGCCGAGUGCAGUAAUGGAGUGGGAGUGUGACGGUCCGACACCAGGCUAGGUGAUGGAUCAGAGCCGGGGUAGGUCAGUGCCGUGGCCGCCGACGCUCGUACCUGCUGGGCGCCCCGAUCCAGUACAUUUACUGACGCGUAGCUACCUUUAAUCGUGAGGUCCUUUCCUGACCUACGAUCUGAUGUGACUAGGGAUCCUCGGCCGGCUAGCCUGCUUGGUUAGCCGGCACACGGGUGGCCGCCUCCUCCCUAGUCCGGCUGGCGAGACCAGGCCGGCUCUGAAGGGGAGGCCGCCUGCGCUCUAGCCGGCACGGGAUGCCUGGCCGGCCAGAAAGGUGGCCGCCUCGUCUUCUAGUCGGCAGGCGAUGCCCAGCCGGUCAGAAGACUUGGGCCUUGGGAAUCUCCCUAUCUUCUUGUUCAUUGGGCCAGAAAUGAAGGAGCAGGCUUGAUGAGCCUACCCCGGGGUUAUCCCCCCGACACUUCUCCUCCUCCUCCACCUCUUUCUUCUCCUCUUNUCUUCUCCUCUUUCAUAUAUCCUUGCUUUAAUUUCCCCAACAAUGACAUAAUUAACCCAUUUAGCUCCAAAAUGCCAUAAUAAGCUAAAAAUGGCAUAAGAACCUUGGUUAGCUCAUGAAUAUUAUAUUCUUAGCUUGUUUUCCGCUAAAAUGACAUAAUUAGCUCAAAAACAUCAUAUUUUGUUCUUCUUCUGACUUUCUUAUUCACAUUUUUGCAGAUUGGAUAUACUACAUGCAUGGAAGCUGGCAUUCAUGGAGUUGAACAAUGUCGAUGGAUAAACUUUACAUGUAUAUCAUCUAGUUUUCAUUUGAGUUGAUGAACAAUGUCGAACUAUAUGCAUAUGUAUAUAUGGAUAAACUGUGCAAUACUUUGUAUGUUGGUUCUUUCGAUAUAUGGGGAUGUACAUUGAUUUAUAUGUAUAUCAUAUAUGUGUGGUGAAUUAUAUAUAUGUGUUGGCAAGUAUAUGUGUGGUGAACUAUAUAUCAUAUAUUGUGAUGAAUUAUAUAAAUGUGAUGUCAAAUAUAUAUAUAUGUGUGUGUGUGUGUGUGUGCUGUGAAAUAAUAUAAAACAAAAAAACAGGUACUAUAUGGGCUCUUUGUCGUCUGCCAGCUGAUGGCAAAGACCUGUGCCAUCAGCUGGCAGAUGGCAAAGGUGCCACAUGGCACCCAGUUGUGCAUCCUUGGGUGUCUAUAUAGGCUCUUUGCCAUCUGCCUCCAGGGUGGGCAGACGACAAAGAAGAGGGCACAGAGGAGGGUGGAGGAGGAGGCAGACGGCAAAGAGUGGAGGGGGCGGAGGAGGAGGCAGACGACAAAGAAUAAGGGGGAGGCACACGGCAAAGAAUAAAGGGGAGGCAGACGGCAAAGCCUCCGUUAACCCCUAACGGAGGCAACGCCUGUCGACUGCCGUCUCGAGCACUUUGCCGACUGCUCCUAUGGAAAGCUGACGGCAAAGAGCUUUGUCGUCCGCUUUGGGGGGACAGACGGCAAAGAAGGUACGAUGUCGUCGUAGGCUGACGCAGAAAUUUUGCCGGCCGUGAGAUUCUUUGCCGUCUGUGGUAUUCUCUUUGCCGUCCGGGAUUUAGUCUUUGCCGUCUGUGAUGGCAGACGGCAAAGAAGCUGAUUCAUGUAGUGUAAUGUGAUUAUCACAAUUGGAGGUUAUGAUUUUUUUUCUCCCGUUGCAACGCACGGGCCUUUUGCUAGUGAGUACCUAUAAAGCUACACACGUACCUCUGCACUCCCUACACACGUCUGUGCAUCGGUGCAACUAUAAAACUACACACGUACCUCUGCACUCCCUACCCUCCAUGAUGCUAGCUUAGGUAGUAGUAAGAGCGUGGUUAAUAAUAGUACAGUCAAUGGCUAACUAUAUGAUGUUAACACAUCAUCUAUAUCCAAGUUUAUAGCCGGUAAGUAGAAUAAGUACUACUUUAUUGAUACAAAAUCCAUCAUCCUCUCUUACAAAGUGUUUAGAACACUAUUAAAAAAAGGGCCUUUUGUCCCGGUUCGUAAGGGCCUUCUGUUCCGGUUUUGGAACCGAGACAAAAAAAGUCGUUACUAAUGACCUUGGCCUUGAGUCCCGGUUCUUACACGAACCGGGACAGAUGGGCCUCCACGUGGCCGCUGCGGCCUGGCCAGGCAGGGGGGCCUUUAGUCCCGGUUGGUCACACCAACCGGGACCAAAAGGCAUCCAUGCAUCAGUACCUGGCUGGAGCUGAGUUUUUUUUUUGAAAGGGGCUGGUUUAGGGGUUAAUUUAGGUUGUUAUAGCUAACUAAUAGAGAAAAGUGUCCUCUCUUAUAUAUCUCCGUGCUUGGUUUACCAACGCUACUGCUAUGCCUAACGUUAACACGGCUUAGAUUGAAGUGAAGGCAACAUGUGGUGCAUGUCGAAAGUAAUACUAAUCCUAACUUGAUCAAGUUUGGAUUGUACUACUUUUGACAUGCACCACAUGCAUGUUGCCUUCACUUCAAUAAUCCAAUCCAUGUUCAUUUCACCCGCUAAUAUAUAAUAACUCUUCAUGCUCGCAUCAUGCAUCAUCAUAUAUAAUAACAAGUCCUACUAAUUAAUCAUCAUCAUACAACUUCUACUCGUUAUUAAUAACAAGUCAUACGAUCAUCAUCCUCAUAGUCAUCGAACCAACCCUACUUAAUUAUUCUUAGCACAUGAUCAUCAGUAUUAGGUAGGACCAAUAAGCAAAAACCAAAUUGUAAAAUAAAGUAGUAUUCAAUUUAGCAUGCAUUCAAUUAUAAGAAAAACUACAUCAUCUCUUGUGUCCAUACAUCGUCGAAUAUUAUCACUAAUACUCCUCGAAUACUAUCAUACAUAUAGCAUCAUUAAUACAUCUAGAACCGUAGCGCCUGACGGGUAUCGUCGUGGGCGGUGGACACCCAAAGAGAAGGAACCAUCACAGGAUCAUAGCUCCAGUGAGAUCCCUGAAGAACCUGCCAGGUAUUGUCGAACCUUCCCUCCAACGCAACCAUGUAGCAACGGACGUGCUUGUCCUCCUCGCUCACACGGUGACGUAUCACCUCCGCGGUGUCCGAAAGCCUCUGCACCGUCACUGGCCCACGCGACCGACACCAAACAAGGAUCAGGUCAACAACGGGCUGGCUCCUCACCAACCUACGCCCCCGGAAGAUAGCACCUCCCAAUACCAGCCGGGCGGAGCCGAGUCCCGGACAUGACCCCUCUGAUCAAGCCGGCCUCCUCCGCCGAGUCGACGACGAGGAUGCGGGAUAGGAAUCAUAAAAUGAAAUAAAAAAAUAAACUAGUUUUAUUAAUUUUCUUGCUAAAAAUAAACUAUUUUUAUAUAGAGUAAAAUAAAGUAGUUUUAUUAAUUCUCUUGGAAGAAUUUUUUGUUAUGUUGUCCAUGACAAGCGGGACAUUGGCAAUGGGUCCGCUGCGUACAAUAGAGGACGUUGAUUGCUGACCAUGAGAUACAUUAUGUUGCCGAAAUUUCCUAUUUGCCACAUGUCUUGAGCUUAGAGUUGAAGAAAGUGGUUGAAUUAUUCAGCACACUAGCUAAAACUUCAAAGGUAAUGAGGGCCAUUUCACAACAUUUGUGACCACAAAUCAUUUGAUGAAUGAACUGGUAAAAUAAUUUGUAACCAUAUGUAAGUAGUCAUAGCUCUAGCGCACUAUGAUCCAUUCUAUUGCACUGAUAUGUAGGACGAGACCUGCAGAUAUAUCUCAUCAUCACCUAAACUUAGUGCACAUCAAGUAAUGGUUCCGUUGUAUAUUCUAUAUGGUACAUCAUAAUCAUGGGACUGUUGCACUUAAACUUAAUGGACAUUAAGUAAGAAUUUCGUUAUAUCGGUGACUUUCUUUGUUUUGUUGAUGUGCUAUUUUAUUUUGUUUGUUUUUCUAUUUCUACAAUCACUAACACAAUAUAUACUUCUGGAUCCUAUUGGAAACUGGGACCAUUAUGUCUCCCAAACAAACGCCACGCCUUUGUUUAGUAUCACUAAAUAUUCACAAAUCUAUCGGUUCUACGGACCCAGAAGAAGAAAAUUAGUACGAGGAGCUCCAGCAUCCUGUGCGCCGAUGAAGGAGAUGUGCGCUGGUGGUAAGGGGCUCGGGCCGGACCCGCUGAGUAUGCUCACAGCGGCAGUAGCAGGUGUAGGCACCGUUCGUCAUCAAGGAGGUUCUCUAGACAGUCACCAUUCUAGCUAUAGAAAAAUCAGUAUCUGAAUUCCUAUGGCCAGCUCCCUAGACUGGAUUUAUGCGGCACAUAGCACAUAUUGAAAAUUAAAUGGACUACUGACAAAACGCCAACCCAGUCCCAUAAGGACGUUAUCACAAGUGAAGCUAUGGCGAGAGAGAGAGAGUAUGUGUGUGUGCGCGCGCUUGUUCAUGAUGGUAUAGUACAUGGCAUAGACUUCCCAACUACUUUCUCAUAUGCACGAGCACAACAGCCAGGGACGAAUCCAAGGGGGGAGGGGGGGGCUAGACCCCCCCUAUGACUUCGUUUUACUAACUAGCGAUUAGCAGGCCGACAGAAAAAAAUGAUUAUUUCGCUAAUAGCGCCCCCUGACCACGUGAAGCCCAACAAAAAAAUCACCAAGUCCGUCUUUAAAACGCCUCCAGAAGUAGCCCAACAUAACGGGAUAUGAUCAGAUCGUUUAAUUUUCUUGCGUGCUAUGCCAGUCGCCUAGAUCUAGCCGCCUAGGGUAGUUCUUGAGCAGCGCUGAUUCAUUCUGAUCCUGAACGGUCAACCUUGAGCAGACGAGAUUGCGUGUAAAAUGGUGAAGGGGCGACGACCAUCCUUGCUCGGACGGGUGGCCGGCCGGCCGGUCAGUCUCUUCUCAUUCUCGUUAUUAGUCCUUGCUUAUCUGCCUAAAUCAGAUUAAUAUAAUCCUUUAGAACUACACAAUUAUAACUGUAGUAGAAGAUUAAUUAGGGAAUACAUCCCUUUAUCCGUGGGACAAGGUUACGGAUUGUUUAUCGCAUCCUAUAGUAGAAAAUUUUAGUUCAUUCAAAUGUGAACUGCUUUAGCUUUUCUUGAUGGUAUCUUCUGAUAAAAAUUUAACUUGCUCACAGCAGAUGCAUGCUUAGAUGAAGAUUUAGUAUGUUAACCUGGCUCCUAGGCUGUUUUUGUGUGUUUUUUUACGAAUCUCUACAUUAGAGGCAAAAAGAAUUUUGCCCCCCCCCUAUAUUUGAAUCCUUGCUCCGUCCCUGACAACAGCAUAUGCAAGGUAAUUUGUUGUUAAAGUGCGACAAAGAGGAAUGUAAUAUUUAGUUGAGCACACUAGGCGCUAAUUAGGGCCAGGGAGACUAGUGGACAACAACACAAACGAAUCCGCGCAUUUGGAAAAGAAAAUAGUUAUGACGGUGUGCAUACCUUAAGUAGAAAUCACACUCUCAUUUGUCGAUUUCAUUUUAUUUUUUAUGAUUAGAGAAUGGCACCUCUACAACCUUGUCAUUUGAAUGUGUAAUAUAUUUGUUGUAAUCCAACCUACCUAAUGCCCAUGGUAUUUUUUGUUAUUUUAUGCUAUAAAACAUCAAAUUUAUCCUAUCACAUGUGUCAUUUCCUUGGUAGACACUAUUCUUGUUUCUUUCUCAUCCUCGUGUGACUAAAACAUCAAAUUUAUACUCUAAAUGACACUCCACGAAAAGAAAUUUUCAUGUUGAGAAGGAUUAGGUGUUUGUUUACAACAUCCCGAUCGACUGAGUAUGUUAAGGGCUUGUUGUAGCCUGGUGCAAAGCCAAAUCGUUCACCUUAUCUCUUUUUUUCCAAAACAUCGCCGUGAGAUGCUUCACUUUUCUAAUACUCAUGUACUACAAGUCCAUAUACAACGGGAACCAAAGGUUAAAUCCAAGUAUAGUUUCAUACAACAAAAAUUGCUUGAGUUUUAACUUUGAAGGCAUUUUGGCAUCGGUUGAAUGGUCUAGUCUUGAAUUAAGAUAUCCUAUAUGUUUGUUACUACUAGUUUUAUUGGUAAUUUCUUUGGUUGUAUUACAAAUAUAUUUUAAGUGGCAUUCAUGGUAAGCGCGACACAGUGAUCCUUACUUUCUUAGACUAACAACGAACCAUUUCGUAUUUUCUUUUUUAAUCUCCAGUAUUGCUUAAUAAAGUUAGCUAUUAUGUGUGCUAUAACACUACAAGAAAUAUGUCAACUAACGACCUUUUUCCAGUGACGCUGGAAGGAAUGGUCAUAAAUCUAUGACCAUUUGACAUCAUUUGGUCGUAAGCUAUCUGGAGGGGUCUUAGCCCCAAAAACCAACGACCAUUUUCAUCAGAAAGGUCAUCACUUGCUUACUGAAAAAGGUCAUAAAGCGGACAGCACCUCACAUUGUCUUAUUUCUAGGUGAUAAUGACCAAUAUGAAUGGUCGUUACUAGGCUGGUGACCAGCGGUGGUGGUGCUGACGCCACGGCCACCUCACCCAUCGGCAGUUGUUGCUAUUGCUGUUGCUAUCUACAUCAGAGAGCUGAAUUGAGAUGUUGCAUAUUGCUAACCAGUCGACCAUAACAUCCUGCCAUAACAUCAGUGAAGCAAAAUAGAAGCAGCAAAAUAGAAGCAGUCAUAACAUCCUGCCACCAUAACAUCAAAAGUAUAACACAUUUCAACACAGUUCACAACAACCUGCCGAUAACAUCAGUGCGCAAAACUACAACAGUUCACAACGACAUCGAUAAACCGAGGAUCAUGGAGGGUGACUAAAUGGGACCUAGAGCCUUCAGGAGGGCUGCAUGCUCUGCCCUGGUCUUGAUGUCUUGAUCAGCACUCCGCGAUAAACCGCAUCCAUGCGACAUAAGGUGUUCAUAAAUCUCAUCCCUGGGCUUUGGCUUUGUGGUGCAGUAUGGCCAUCUGAACAUUCCACUCCUGAAGUAGGCCGCCUUCCCCUUCUCCCUGAUCUUCUAGGCUUCCUUCUCAAUGAAGGACUCUUUGUUGCCGUCCUCCACGUCAUCUUCAGAGUUAUACUGCACACACAAAUUAAUUACGCACACAUUAUGCAUUCAUAUAGGCAUUAUGGAGCCAGAACACACACUUAUGAUUCAGAAUGAUGCAAUGAACAAACAUCAGAUAAUUCCCAUUUACCAAAUUUUAAUGAACAAACAAAGAAAAAAGUCAUGUACAGUAAUCUAAUUAAACAAACAACAUUAAAAAACUCUCUACAUCGAUUUCAUUAAAAAGCCCACCAACAUGCAUUCAUAUAGUGCUUACGUUGAACUAAAAUAGUUGGGAUUACCUCAUACGGUUCGUCGUCGUCGUAGUCAGUCAUACGGGCUCUUGAACCCAGUCUUGGCGAGCUUCCUCUUCAUGCCUGCAGCUUCCUUUUCCUACAAUAUAAGUAAUUCGAUUAGUACAAACUAUGUAACACAGUAUUCAAAAGGUCAAGCAUUCAACAAUGUGCUUCUAAUUACAUUCAUAGUGCUGCUACAUCCGCCACCCUAUUCUCUCUGCACUGGGUAUGUCCUUUGUGCAUUUCACUUAUACAAUCUUUCGAUCCUUCAUACAAAGAUUUAAAUGUCCUUUCAAAAAAUCAAACUGUACUUUGUAACUAUAUGUUAUGUAUACACUUCUUUUGUCAGGACAUGUGCUGGAUGUCACAAUGAAAUUGGCCAUGGACGUUUUCUUAGUUGCAUGGGAGCUGUUUGGCAUCUAGAGUGCUUUUGCUGCCAUGCUUGUAAUCAACCAAUAUAUGACUAUGAGGUAGCUCUUUGUUGUUUUGUGUACUAAUUAAGCAGUUGCAUUGGUAUUGACUUUACCAACAAAAACAUGCAGCUCUCCAUGUCAGGAAACCAUCCAUACCAUAAAACUUGUUACAAGGAGCGCUUUCAUCCAAAAUGUGAUGUCUGCAAGCAAUUUGUAAGUAUCACUUUAUUAUCUUUUUUUAUCUAUUUGCAUAAGACGAUUCUCUCUGUUCUGCAUUUUAUAUAGCAGAACAUUACACUAUUGGGCUGCUCAGCCCCUGCCGUGCCCCGGUGAGGGGAUAACCACAACAAAUCUAUCAACAUAUCCGACACAUAAUAAAAUCUAAGCACAUGCAGCAAUCAAGAUCCCAAUUCAAAACCUAACUCUUAUUAAAUCCUUACUAAUAAUCCCAAUAAAAUGCAAGAGAGGGGGCAGAGCUAGGCGAAAUUUAGGAAUGGGUGUUCGUAUAUAUCAAGCACAUGACUUAGGUGAAAUAUUUACUAAUAAGAGAAAGAUUCCAUUGAUUCAAGCCAACAAAAUGCAAAAGUUCGUCAACACAUGCAAACGCAGAGUGUGUUCUGCUCUCUGAAUAUAUGCUAAAUCUCCUGCUUAUCAAUGAUAACUAUGAAAGCAGGGGAACGGGAAGCAUUACCACAUCCACAUGCACAAAUCAAGAUUGAAAUUAAAGAAAUCCAAGUCUCAAUAUAUAAAUCUAAGUAGAAUUCAAGCACGAAUCAACUAUAAAAAAACCAGAAAACCCUAUCUAAAAAACCCACCUCAUCGUCGGCAGCACCGCUCGAGGUCGUGUCCUCCUGCUUCGGCACCUCCUUAAGAUCCGCAGCGGCGACAACGGUUGCAGUCGUGUCCUCCUGCUUUGGCACAGGCACCUCCUCAAGUUCCGCAGCGGCAGCGACAGCAGUUGCGGGCGUGUCCUCCUGCUGCUUCGGCACCUCAAGCAGAUCCGCAACGGCGACGGCGCGACGAGCGCCCUCCAUUGUGAGACGAGGCGACGAGGGAGACGGUGCGAUGAGGGAGACGAGGGAGACGAAGUGGGAGACGAGGCGACGAAGUGGGAGACGAGGGAGACGAGGCGACGAGGGAGACGAGGGAGACGAAGUGGCAGUUCCCUCGUUAUACGAUGUGACAGUUCCUGCAAUGUCCCGUCCGCCACGUGUCGUCCGGGACAUCUUACAAAAAAAACAAAUGGCAUAGACACCUUCAAAAAAACAAAUGGCCCGCUCGAACCUGGUCGGCACGAACCGGUUCGGUCGGUCUUUGUGUCUUGCUCGAACCUGGUCGACCGAGCCAGUCUACUCUCCUCACACUCUGCCCCCUCGUCGCCGAAGCUCGUCGGCCGCCACCACCUCCGUCGUGCCAUGGUUUACAAGGAUGAGAGUAGCAACGACCUAUCGAGCCUGGACAUCAGCUCUUCCUCGGACGGCAUGACGUACCGUGUAAUUUGUAGAGCUAGGGUUAGGUUUAGGGUUUCAGUUUCUUCACAUUGGGGAUUUAUCUUUGUUUCUUGGUUCUUCUUUAGAUCCCUCCUAGCAUCAACAACAAAGACUACAUGGGCAUCGAUAAUUCUGUCCUGGAUGUUUGCUUGGAGCAUGGGCUGCCGCCUGAGCGUCGCGUAGCAUUCGAAGGAUUUGAGACAGGGAGAAGAUUUUUAGUGUGUGCUCAGCCGGUUAGUUCUAUCUUCUUUAGUGUUAGACAUGCAUGAAGUUGCUUCUGUUUUUUCUAUCUGGCUCAAAAUAUUCAGACUGUCAGUGUUUACUACAUCACUGUCAUUGUUUGUUUAGCUCAAAUAUUCACACUAUCAUUGUUUAUUACAGCACUGUCAUUGCUAGUUUAGCUAAAAGAUUCUGGCUUGUUACAGCACUGUCAUUGCUUGCUUAUUUAUUACACCAGUGUCAUUGCAUGUUUAUUACAGAAUUCUGGCUUGUUAUUUUCUGGUUAUUUUGUAUUGCUAAAGUACUGAUUAUUUUGUAUUGCAGCCACCUCAAAAUUGUGGUUUUGUCGGUUGGGUAGACCAAGAGUGGCCUCCCACAAUGCAAAAUGCAUUGUUAAAACUGAGGGAAAUGUUGGAAGACAGCAAGAGUGCUAGGAGGGAUGAUAAUUUGGAGAAUUCACUGAAAAUUCACCACCUCAUAGAGGAAAAAAGAAAUCUUGAUGCAAACUAUGACAAACUAGUAGAAGAUGUGAAUCAACUGCUCAACCUUGCAGAAGCUCAAGGCGGGGUCAUUAGGACCCAGAAGGCAAAUCAUUUGAAGGAGAAGGACAAACUUAAUGAUGAAAUUUUGGUCCUCAACCUUCACAUUGAUGGUCUGAAGAAAGGAAUUGAGAAUCUGAUUAAACGCAGGGAUGAGCUGAAGAUCCAGAUUGUUGAUCAGUUGAAGGCAUUGGAUAAGAACCAAGAGAAGUUGAAGAUGAUCAGGGACAUUUUGGAUGGAUGAGCUGAUCAGAUGAAGAUGAAGUCCACUAUGCUAUGGUUGAUGUGUUGUUGUGUUGCUGUGUUGCUCUUUUGUACCAAUGUUGUAAUGCAAGAUGAUCAGAAUCUCUAUAUUAUGUAUGAUUAAGUGACUCCACUAUGCUAUGUUUUUAAUUGUACUAUGCUAUUGUUGGUGUGUUGCUUUUUUGUAGCAAUGUUGUAAUGCAAGAUGAGAAGAAUCUCUUAAUUAUGUAUGAUUAAGUGACUUUAUCUUUGUUCAACCCAAGUAUGUUGAUAGAUUGGUUGAUCUUACUUGUUGUAUCUUAUUUGUUCAUAGAUUGGUUUAAGUGACUUCUUAUUUGUUGCAAAUGUCUUUCAAGCCACACAAAUGAGCUAUCAUGUGUGAAGAUUCAUGGCUUUCAAGCCACAUGAUCAAUCUCAUGGCCAUAUUCAUGGCAUAGUUUGUUGAAAUGGUCUCAUAUUUUGCAUAAUGGUGCAUGUUGGAGUAACAAACAAUGUUGAUUAAGGAAGUUUUCAUCUUCCUUGUAUGAAAAAUUCAUUUUUNNNNNNNNNNNNNNNNNNNNNNNNNNNNNNNNNNNNNNNNNNNNNNNNNNNNNNNNNNNNNNNNNNNNNNNNNNNNNNNNNNNNNNNNNNNNNNNNNNNNNNNNNNNNNNNNNNNNNNNNNNNNNNNNNNNNNNNNNNNNNNNNNNNNNNNNNNNNNNNNNNNNNNNNNNNNNNNNNNNNNNNNNNNNNNNNNNNNNNNNNNNNNNNNNNNNNNNNNNNNNNNNNNNNNNNNNNNNNNNNNNNNNNNNNNNNNNNNNNNNNNNNNNNNNNNNNNNNNNNNNNNNNNNNNNNNNNNNNNNNNNNNNNNNNNNNNNNNNNNNNNNNNNNNNNNNNNNNNNNNNNNNNNNNNNNNNNNNNNNNNNNNNNUUGGUCCAAAUCAUUUUUUAACAUACUAGGCCAUAUUUAAUUUACAAUUGACAAAAUGGUUGGGUGUCAAAAGCUUUUAUCCAUCUCCCGUGAAAAAGACAAAUCUAUGUCGAAUCAGUUGGAAGCGGGUCAAAUUUGAACUGCGGUUGCCUUAUAGUUUGCUCUUUAUUUUUCCAAAAAUCAUUUCUAGGUACACAAGUAUCUAUUUAAUCAUAGAAACACCAAAAGGUUUCUAAGAUUCAACCACGAGGUAGGAACAGUCAUGCCCGCCGUUUCGACCGUAUUUUGAAACGGCCAUGAAAAAUUCAAAAACAAUAAAAAAA
Molecule: long non-coding RNA, 83979 nt
Filed under: Hordeum vulgare
Lineage: Eukaryota; Viridiplantae; Streptophyta; Magnoliopsida; Poales; Poaceae
Description: long non-coding RNA (HVUL_LNC000143)
Source: RNAcentral